This 72661-nucleotide long non-coding RNA is filed under the name Marmota monax (woodchuck). Lineage: Eukaryota; Metazoa; Chordata; Mammalia; Rodentia; Sciuridae. The record is from RNAcentral.
ACCAAAUGAGCUGGGAGGAGGCUGUUGCUAGAAUGUAGGUGCCUGGUUACUGGGUUCCAAGUUCUGUUUGNUUAGAUUCAGACCCAUGUGCUCCAGCCAGGCCUGUGUGCUGGGCCUCCUGCUGAGCAGCGCCCAGCUCCCCUCACCCUCCUGUGAACAGUCCCCUCCCCCUUUCCAUUCCUCUACUGGCCACACUCACCUGGGAGUCAUUGUCCUCACAAAGCCUUUUCAUCACUACCAGGGCAAGAACUUGGGUUCCAGUUCCACAUGGGUCCCCAAGACUCCAAUAAGGUGGUCUUUCUCCCCCUCCAAGGAUGAGUGGUCCCUUAGGGCACCAUUCUGUUGUGGCCCAUGUCUGUCUUCCUGUCUCCUCUGUCCUCUGAUGGCCCUCCAGGGGGCAGAAAGCUUCAACCAAGGGCCAGAGCACAGUGUCACACUGGAGGCAGCUCAGACUGGGGAGCCUGUGGGACCUUGUGAUGACCUACUCCAAGCUCCAGACUUUGUAGGGAAGGAAACUGAGGCCCCGGACCACGUUCUCCCCUUCCUGUCUUUUGGGGCUUUAUUUGGUUUGUGUUUGGGGCUGUGCUGGGUUAGAGCUCAGGGCCUUCACCAUGCCAGCAGCACUGGACCACUGAGCUACCCCAGAGCCACUCUGUUGCCCCGUGUGAUGGUCCAGAUUCAGCAGAUCCCUGGGGCAGGUAAAGCGGAAGGGCAACAAUUAAAAGGACUACCACUGGAUCCAGUUAAGGUCAAACGCCUUAAAAGAAUGGACCGCCAGACUUCCUGUUUCCAACUCACCCCCCUUUUUUCUUUGUAUACCUUUUGGACUCAUUGUACCCGUUGGUCUUGCCAUCUAUCCUAGACAUACAUGUUUGGAGUGGAAAUGCCCCCUGGCAAUGAGUUUUCCCUCUCUUAACAGUUUGGAUAGUCAUCCUGUGGUCAGGAGCACUUGGUUCAGUUCUUUCAGCUUGGUUGAAGAUUAUUUUCUCUCCGGGUCUUGAUUAAAAUCAAGUCAUCAGGCUGGAAGUGACGAAUGCAAAUUCUACAAUGAGAGUCUGUGCAACAGUUUAUAAUAAUCAUACCACCAAAAAAAAAAAAAAAAAGGUACAGAUAGGUCUCAAAUUGACUCAGAACAAACUUGUGCAUUGGGCACUCUUAAAUAACCCCCCUUUUUACUUAACUUAUGGGAGAGCUGACAAAAAUGUACAUCUUUAAUUACAUUGAAAGAACCUUUUUCUUUUCUUUUAAAUGCCCAAGUAGGACUAUGCUAUGGUUAUACCAUUCUCCUGCCAGGUAUUUAAGACCAAAUUGGUAUAAAAAAAUGACAUUGUUUCUUCCUAUCUAUUACUAAGCGUCAGCUGAGUGUCACUCUUGGGAACUUGUGAGAAGCCUCUUGGCUUCUCUAGAGGCAUCUGCCCAUGGGUCAGAAUCUUGCUGACCGUAUGUGGCUUCCCUUGGAAAAAUCAGGGACAUUUCCCUCUCCAAUGAUCCUCAUCUUUGCAGAAUGUGGAUUGCUUGGCUUCCUGUUCUCCAGGGUCCCUCUGAUUCUCCUGAUCAGCAGGUCAUGUAACCCAGAGUUGCAAAGCCCUUAGAGAAGUCCUGUUGUUCCCUGGGUCCCUGCUGAUUUCAGAGGACAAGAGCCAUAUAUUCUCUUUUUUUUCCUCAGCCCUUUAACUGCCUUAACUUUGUUUGUGUUUUAAACAUCCAUCAGGCCAGUUUCACCAAAGUGUGAGUACUUGGUUUUAUAUUUAAUGUAUGUAACUUUAAAGUCAUUUAUCCCUUCCAUUUAAUUGGGGUCAGUAUUAAUACUGGAAGUCAGCCUUAUAUUUUGUUUGUCCUACAGCAAAAUAUAAGGAGCGAGCUGACAAAAUGGGAGAGCUGACAAAAAUGUGCAUCUGACGGCCUCCAGUGGGCAGAAAGCUUUGACCAAGGGCCAGAGCACAGUGUCACACCAGGGGCAGCUCAGAUUGGGGAUCCUGUGGGACCUUGUGAUGACCUACUCCAAGCUCCAGACUUUGUAGGGCAGGAAACUGAGGCCUUCUCUCCUCAGGGGACUUUUCCUAAUCAACUGUGCCAUGCCUGGGGCUCACACACAGGGCCCCGGACCACAUUUUCCCCUUCCUGCCUUUUUGGGGCUUUAUUUGGUAUUGUGUUUGCAGCACACGAUCACCCUGGGUUCUGAUGAAGAGUGUCCGGUUUUCCUCACACCCUAUGUCCAGGAGCAAUUUCGAUCGCAGUCCAGCUGCAGCCAGACAUUCAUGUCUUCCCAUGAUGUCUGCUGCCUUUAGGUAACACCUAUCACCAAGGCCAAGGAGCCAUGAGAAGGACAAAGAUAAUAUGAAAUGUGCAUGUAAUAAAAGGUCCUUCUGUGACAGAUUAGAGAAUCAAUGUUUUAAAAUGCCACUUAUUCCUGUUUUUUAACUACAGUCCCCGAGUCCUCAGUGCCUGUCUCUGUAGUUCAACCCCAUCUCACUCCCCCCAAGACUUUGUUCUCCAUUUGCUCCAGCCCUCCUGUCAUCUUGUGCCAAGCAUGCAGCCUCCAGUGCCAAAACAGAUGGACGUGCAGACUUGAUGUUUGAGGUCCAAUAAUCCUAAAGCUAUCAUAGUAGGAUAAGUUUUUUUUUUUUUUAAUAAAAAAGGUUUUACUCCCCAGGAGCAAAUAAAUAAUUUUGAACUACUGAUAAACACUGCUACCAAGAAAAGAAAGAUGUCUACAUCUUUCAUAUAUAUAGUAGCACAAGUUCAGUGUAAGAACAACUGUAUUUACAAUUAGAGAUAAAAACUACUUAUCCAUCCCCAAUCCAACCCAAACCAAGAGGAUUCCCAUAGGGAAAAUGUUGAAUUCAAAAGCUCCUCCCCUAUGCACAGGGGGCAUGUCAUUCUCUCAGAAGUGGAAAACAAAUCCCCCUGUGGAGAUGCUUGGAACACCCCAACUGGUGACAAGACUUGGGCAAAUGAAGACACACACUCACACUCAAACACAGACCUGUAGACCUCCUUCCAGCAGCCACAGAGUUACAUCCCAGAACCCAGUCCUCAAAAUUCUAGGCUCAAAAGCUAAGGAGGGGAAGCAGGGAAGGGAAAAUUUUCUCAAUCCUCCUGGGGUGUACCUUGGAGGAGUGUGUGCCCCUACUCUGCAUCACUCCUAACUUCAAUAAGAGCCUUACACAAUCAGCCCAAGUGAAAAUUAGGAAAGAAAGCUGGAGGAGGAAGCACAGGGGCAAGAGGAGGAACCACAGGAGGAGGAACCACAUUUGGCUGGAUCCAUUCAUGAAACUUAGGAGUUCUCAUUUAUCCAUAAGCUAAUUUUGAUACUGUGUCCAUCACAAGCACCUAAGUAGACACUACAAUACCAUAUACAAUACCAUACAUGCUUUUUCAUGGGUAAAAUAGAGCCUAUCACAGUAUGACACAAAAAGGGCCUUUGCAAUUGGGAACAUUAGGAAUACAGUUUGAGCCAUGAAGAAUACUGAAGUCAAAAGUUCAGGUGGCCACACAUCCUUCAUAUGGAAGAUUUAUUCCCACCAUUACUAUUGUUUAUUUCCCUGCUCAGGACUCUUUAAAGGAAAGAGGAUUUGUACAUAGGGGGCUCUUUCCAUUGUUCUUCCCUCACCCUAGCCCUAAAUUUUUUCCCUAUUUUUGGUAGGCUCCUGUAAUUGAAUUCCCCCUUGUGCAUCUAACCUCCCACCCUCCAUAUGUUCAAUCCCCCUUAUUGGGGAUUUCUUGCAUAACCAGGGCCCCUAACUGAUCAAUCCUACUUACUAGGGAUUUCUUGCCCAGCCACUAAAGAAGCUUGAGAUACAUUUUCCUGCUUUGGUCUAUGUAUGUGCAUAGAAUUACUUGGUUACUACGGUACUUGCCUGGGCUCUUUUCCUGUGUUAUCUCUCCACUUUUGAUCCACUUUGGAAUUUGGGUUCUUUGUUGGCCUCAGGGAUGGCAGUUUCCUCCUCACCUCUGUGGUUACCACAACAAGGCACCAGGAUGUGUUUCCUCUGAGGAGGGGGAUCACUGAGACCCCUAGGCAAUGCAUGGAGCCCCAUGAUGGGUGCCAAAAUUGUUAGAUAUAAUGAGGUGCUGUGGGAAAUGAAACGUGCUUGAAAGUGGGUAAAAGGCAAACUUUUACUUCUUCCGAAGGGCUGUGCUACUGGAACCUGGCCAGCAAGGGCACCUGGGCGGGCAGCCUGCCUGUUUAUAUACCUAAGGCAGUGCUGCCGUUUUCCCUGAUUGAAGUUUUUUUUUUUUUUUUAAAUAUAUUUUUUAAAUACUCAUUUUUAGUUGUUUUUUAGGUGGACACAAUAUCUUUAUUUUUUAUUUUUAUGUGGUGUUGAGGAUCGAACCCAGCGCCCCUAACAUGCCAGGCGAGCGCACUACCGCCUGAGCCACAUCCCCAGCCCUGAUUGAAGGUCUUCAGGGUAUAAUCUAUGUGAUUGGCCAAUUUAAAAAUUGGGGUGGGGAAAGGGAAAGGGCUACAGUUAAAAUGACUACAACUGAUUCCAAUUAAGGCUGAAUACUAUAUUCCAAAAAUAGAUCACCAGAUUUUCUAUUUCUCACGCAUAAGUGUGAGAGAAGAAAGAAAAGAAAAUUAAGAUCACCAGUCAUUCCACUCCAUUCAUUGCUCCCUGUCCAUGCUGGGGCUGCCCUUCUGGUUUUCUUUUGCGCUCGCGCGCGCACACACACACACACACACACACAAGCCUAGCUCAGCUGUCAUUCUGUAACCUGUUUCUUUCUUAUCCCUAGAACACAUACAUGUGCCAAUGACAGAGCCCUUAUGAACAUGUUGAAAAUGCUUUUCUCUGGUUCCUACAUAUUGCCCAAUAACCUUUCACAUGAAUACAGCAUAGUUCAUUGAAACUGCCUCCUGUCCUUAGCCUCUAUGGUGUUCCCAUACUUCUCUGUUCCAUACUAACUGUGAUUGCUUUUCAUUCAUGAAUGUUUAGGAACACAGUAAUUACUAUAAACUCCUCAAUGUGGACCUACUGUGUCAGACAAAUCCAUUUGAAAGGCUUUUGCUAGAUGUUGCCAAUGUUCCCCCGGAAGAGCCAAUUUGCAGGAUGGUUUCUUAUAUUGGUGGCAAGAAUCACCUCCCUUUUACUGUUCCCAGUUAUUUUGAUGCUGUUUUUCCUUUAAUCAGCCUGGGUGUGAAAUUGUGAUUCAAUCUAAUCUGGAAAGUGUGUUACAAACAUUGCCUGGGGGCGUGUCCCCAGCUUUGCAAGCAGGUAAAGGUAAGAGAUGCCAGGAAGAGUCCUGCCUGGCACACGGCCAAGAACCCACAAUCAAUGAUUAUGCUUAGGACGGUGGUAUGUCCCUGCUUCCUCAGCCUAACGAUGGGUGAGUGUCAUCUGUUCUGGGACAUCUCAAAACACCAGAAGGGUCCCAAUAUCUAAGGUAAACAAGUGUACCUUCCAGUAGAAAUGCCAUUUUUCCUGGCUCCAGGGGACACCUUUCCCUUCCUAUACAAUUAACUCAGUAGGGGAGCAGUGAGGAUGAGCAAGUCUCGGGGUACAGGUGUCUGUGCAGCUUCUCUCCAGGUACACAGCCAUCUUCCUUCCUUGCUGGAAGAUGCUUUCUGACCCCAGUUACCUUGAGCAAGAUCAGCGAUGGGGUGAAGCAGGCCUGGGGCACCUGUGAUUGGGAUCAGACCCACCUUCUGCAGUUCCGGAUCCUGCCGCUGAAAGCGCUGCUGAACAUGAUCCCAAAGCGCCCGUAGCACAUUCCUGCGGUUUGGCCGCUCAACUGCAGGGGAUGCUCGCGCUCUCACGUGGGCGGCAGCUGGUGGGAGAUCCUCCAAGCCACGCAACUGGAGCGGGACAGUCGGGUUGCGAGUAGGGCAUCUGCGUGCAGUACUUUAGAAAGGACCAUGCCCGGCCCCCAAACGCUCUGCUAGUGUCAUGGCCAUGUAUAGAGAGGACAGUGAGACUUGGAAAUGUUUAGAAAUGAUUUGGGACACCCAGCCCAUCAACCGCCGAGAGGUGGCAUAUUUCCCUGUCUUUCCCUCUCACUCCAGUGGAGGGGUCCCACCAUAGCCCAGUGCACCUCGCUGUUGGGCAGGGUGCUUCUGCUCAACCGUCUGCUUUUUCCUUUUGAUUGGUUUUCUUCAUCCAGCUUAUAGGAUAAGACCUCCCAUUUCAAUCAAUCUCCACCCACAUGACACCAGGAGCGUCUGGUGCCCUGAGUCUCACAUGGUUAAAUCUGGCUCUUCAUGCCAAGGAACAGCUUGCUGCAGCCCAGAGGCCAUCUGCUCCCUGUCCACACUGGGGCUGCUCCAUUACUCACUCUGAGAGAAUGAGAGUCCUCCAGUUCACCCACCUUUCACCUUAGGGCCCAGAACUCAUCUGAGCCUGCUUCAUCCUUCCUGUUGCCUAGGAGAAGAGAAAAGGUGACCCUGCAGGGUCCAGAGCAUUGGAGCUCAGCCCUCUGCUGUUUCAAGGCCUUCACACUUCCAAAUAUCCCCUGUUCUGUUAGGGAAAAAAAUGUUGUGAUGAUGUUGUCAAGCACAUGACACCAUCCCCACCCCCCACAAGGCUGGUGGGGUGAAUGGGGGCAAGAGCGCCUUUCAUGUCUACAAGGACGGCAAUUUGGACAUGGCUUGGCAAUUAAAAAGCUUGGCCAUUGCUCUGACUUCUUGCACACACAGGGUGUGCCAAGUGCUAUGGUUCUGCUCUGAAUAGCACAAUGAGCCUUUUCCCAAAGGGGACCUGUGGUCCUUGGCAGAAGCUCUGCGGGUGGUGGGAGUUGAGGGAAUUUCAUUCACACAAAAGGCGGGAUGAGUCCUAGAGGGUUUCCUGGAGGGGGAGAACACCAGGCAGACCUCCGACCUCUGCAUGGGCAUCAAAGACAAGGCAGUGGUCCAAGCACAGAAUGCAGGAAAACAAAUGUGGGGUGUUCAGGGCAUGCAGAACUUGGCCCUGCUCAGCCCUCUGCCAGGGCUGUUCUGAGAUCUGGAGUGCACAGCCAGGGAGAAGUGGGGCUGCCACUCAGGGUCCAAGGUAUUUAUUGACCCAGUGCCCUCCACAUGGCCAUGGGAGCUAUGGCUCAUCCUAUCUCCCCAAGGGGUGCUGAGAGCCAUGUGAUAUUUAGGAAGGGCUGGAGAUGGUGGCUGGGGCUCUGGCUCCACCAGCUCUAUCCUUGUGACUCUAGAAUGUGCUGAGGUGGGGCAGUGAGGGAGCCCGAGGCAUCCUCUGGGCAGGAGUGGAUGUCCAGCAUCUGGGAGCUGAUGCAGAAGAGAAAGAAAAUGAUCAGAGCAGCGGGGUGACUGCCAGUGAUGUCAUUGUCCAUGUGACUGUGCAGUCUCUGUCAUUUGGCAGCAGGGGUGAGUCUAAGUCUGGGAUCACUGUCUGCCUCCCCCUCUCCCACCCUUAGGGUCUCACAGAGUCAGGCAAACCCAUCUGGGGCAUCAGGGGAUCCUGGAACACGUUGUGACCUCAGACUCUCAUUAACCUCUCUGGUUUUGUCCUCUGACCUCUGCCUCAGAGACCUAUUGGGUCCUAGAGGUCACCUAAUACAAAGGCUUGUCCCAUGGAGGCCCCGAACCAGGGGUCAUGUUUAGUGGCAUAGCUGGGACUGGACUCUUCCAAGGCACUCUCUGUGUUGUCCCCAGCAUGGAUGCCCAGGGAGCAACCUUAGGGAUUAUCCACUUGCAGGUACUCCAGAGAGGGGCUCAUGAGGUUUAUUUGCGCAACUUGGGGGUGGGCUCCUGGCCCUGAGCAGGCUCCCCACCACAGGGAACAAUGACAUGGGAGCCUACCAUAGCAGGGAGAGCUUUGGGAAUCUUCUCUCACAGCAGCUCUUGUCUGGUGAGGUCUCUGUGGAAUGAUGAUGCCCUUAAGGACAGUUUCACCCUGAACUCACCCAAGGUGAGGGGUAGGGAAAAGGCUGCUGGGAUAAGAAGGCUGUGCUGGACAGGGGCGAGGGCUUAGGCCUUUGCUGUCCCCUUCCUGUUCUUUCUUACAGAUGCUCUAGGACUGAGCAGGAGUGCUCCUCCUGGCCUAUCUGUGCUGUGCCACCACUGGAGGGUGGGGCAGCCUUGCUUGCUCUCCUAUCCCAUGGAGAAUUGCUCCCAUGGCCCCUGGCCCUGGAUUUUUGCUCCUCUGCUGACCUGUACAUGCUCCCAACUCACAGAGGGACCCAAGGCAUUAAUUCUCCAAGCAAGAUGAUUGAAGGCAUGGGGAAAGGCACUGGUGGGGAAGAGAUCAGUGAUCUUGUAACAGGGCCCUUUGCUGUAACAGGGGUCCACUUCAUACUUUGAAUAUAACCUUGCUGUUCAACCACGGGCAGCUUAUUUUAAAACUGACAUGUUUUCCCCCUUCCUCUUCUCCCUCUUCACCUCCUGAGCAAAGGGGAAGCAAGAGGAAUGUUCUUUCUGUCCUAAGCUGAGUUAUCUUCCCUUCCUUCCAUUCAAUGAAUAAGGAAACUGGAGACCUACUAAUUGAAACGAUUGCUCUUCCAAUGAUAGAAGUCAAACAUUAAUUACUUCCAUAGAGAGAGAGAACUUGGAGAACAGCCCUUGUAUCCCCCUUUAAAAGCCCUCUAUUCCUCCUUUGGCAACCUCUGUGACAUGAGUCUUCUGUCUUUCUCUUUUGCUAGCAAAGCAAUAAAACUUCUUUUUUUCCUUUACUCAAAAUUAGUCUUCUUUAUUGAGUGAAAUUCAGGGAUGAGGAUUGAGUUUCUUGUCACCAACAUGAGUGACCAUUUUCAGUUGAGGAAACUGAAGUCUCAGAGAAUUGCUGGUAUCUGUAGGAGCUCAUUUCUGUGAGAGGAGAGACAGGGUGCUGACCCUGGUCCUACUGGGUCAGCCUUGUGCCUGUUCUUUUCAUUGCAACAAUCAUUUGAAGGAGAACAAGCAUUCUGUCUCACUAUACUGCUGAAAAACUUCUAUCCAACUGCAGCAAAGAUUCUUCUUCUUUCAAUGAGUGGUUUCCGGGGAUGGGGAGAAAGUGAGGGGGAGGGAUGAGACUGGGGGACAUGUUCUGGAAUCAGUGGUGAUGGCUGUACAACAGCAAAAAUGCAAUUAACUGCUGAAAUAAACAUUUUUAAAAUAAGUAAAAUAUUCAUUUUUAUUCAAAAUUAAUAGUAAAAACAAAAUCCAACAAUGAAAAUAGGGAAACUAGUGAAACAGUAAGGGAGCACAGGGGCCUCCCUUGGGCAUUAGCAGGUCCAAGGUGGUGCUCAGGAGCUGGCAUUGGCUAUGGAGCCACUAGGAGCUCCAGAGCUGGAGGUGAUAGUGAAGGAGUUUGGGGUCCUGGCUCUCCCUCUGGUGCUUGAGGUGAUGAUGGAAGUGCCACAAGUACCAGAGGUGACCCUGCAGUUGCAAGAAGAGAAACAAUCACCAAAUGACCAUGUUCUUUUCAGGGGCAAAUUAUUUCUCACUGCCUUUCAGAGGAAACUCUAUAUACAAAGCCACCACUGGAAUGGGUUCCUAGAGAGUUUGCUCUGUUUGUAAUUUUCCUGCCCCUCUCAUCUUCUGGAAGCUCUGCUCUGCAUACCCAGCUCCAUCUCAUUCCCAGUGCUCACAGACCCCAACCCCAGUCCUCCUUACCUUAAAACUCUGCCUCAGUGGGUUUCAGGGGCUUCCACAGGGCCCUGAGUAGGGAACCUCAGUGUUCCAGGUAGAGCCAGGGGUGUUGGGCUUCACCCAGAUUAACACAUUGGGGAAGGGCCACCUGGGCCUGGUCCACAGGGUUUACUACAGGAGCCCGUGAUGGAGGAGGUGGUACUGAAGUAGGACAGAAGAGGCCAGACACCUAAGGAAUGUUCAGGAAGCAGGUUUAUUGACUGCAGAAUUCAAAGGUGGUUCUCACCUAAGCAUUCUUCCUCUAAAAAAUGAGUAUAGAAAUUCUUUGAACUUUAUACCCAGGGUGUGGGGGNCUGUUCUGUUAGGGAAAAAAAUGUUGUGAUGAUGUUGUCAAGCACAUGACACCAUCCCCACCCCCCACAAGGCUGGUGGGGUGAAUGGGGGCAAGAGCGCCUUUCAUGUCUACAAGGACGGCAAUUUGGACAUGGCUUGGCAAUUAAAAAGCUUGGCCAUUGCUCUGACUUCUUGCACACACAGGGUGUGCCAAGUGCUAUGGUUCUGCUCUGAAUAGCACAAUGAGCCUUUUCCCAAAGGGGACCUGUGGUCCUUGGCAGAAGCUCUGCGGGUGGUGGGAGUUGAGGGAAUUUCAUUCACACAAAAGGCGGGAUGAGUCCUAGAGGGUUUCCUGGAGGGGGAGAACACCAGGCAGACCUCCGACCUCUGCAUGGGCAUCAAAGACAAGGCAGUGGUCCAAGCACAGAAUGCAGGAAAACAAAUGUGGGGUGUUCAGGGCAUGCAGAACUUGGCCCUGCUCAGCCCUCUGCCAGGGCUGUUCUGAGAUCUGGAGUGCACAGCCAGGGAGAAGUGGGGCUGCCACUCAGGGUCCAAGGUAUUUAUUGACCCAGUGCCCUCCACAUGGCCAUGGGAGCUAUGGCUCAUCCUAUCUCCCCAAGGGGUGCUGAGAGCCAUGUGAUAUUUAGGAAGGGCUGGAGAUGGUGGCUGGGGCUCUGGCUCCACCAGCUCUAUCCUUGUGACUCUAGAAUGUGCUGAGGUGGGGCAGUGAGGGAGCCCGAGGCAUCCUCUGGGCAGGAGUGGAUGUCCAGCAUCUGGGAGCUGAUGCAGAAGAGAAAGAAAAUGAUCAGAGCAGCGGGGUGACUGCCAGUGAUGUCAUUGUCCAUGUGACUGUGCAGUCUCUGUCAUUUGGCAGCAGGGGUGAGUCUAAGUCUGGGAUCACUGUCUGCCUCCCCCUCUCCCACCCUUAGGGUCUCACAGAGUCAGGCAAACCCAUCUGGGGCAUCAGGGGAUCCUGGAACACGUUGUGACCUCAGACUCUCAUUAACCUCUCUGGUUUUGUCCUCUGACCUCUGCCUCAGAGACCUAUUGGGUCCUAGAGGUCACCUAAUACAAAGGCUUGUCCCAUGGAGGCCCCGAACCAGGGGUCAUGUUUAGUGGCAUAGCUGGGACUGGACUCUUCCAAGGCACUCUCUGUGUUGUCCCCAGCAUGGAUGCCCAGGGAGCAACCUUAGGGAUUAUCCACUUGCAGGUACUCCAGAGAGGGGCUCAUGAGGUUUAUUUGCGCAACUUGGGGGUGGGCUCCUGGCCCUGAGCAGGCUCCCCACCACAGGGAACAAUGACAUGGGAGCCUACCAUAGCAGGGAGAGCUUUGGGAAUCUUCUCUCACAGCAGCUCUUGUCUGGUGAGGUCUCUGUGGAAUGAUGAUGCCCUUAAGGACAGUUUCACCCUGAACUCACCCAAGGUGAGGGGUAGGGAAAAGGCUGCUGGGAUAAGAAGGCUGUGCUGGACAGGGGCGAGGGCUUAGGCCUUUGCUGUCCCCUUCCUGUUCUUUCUUACAGAUGCUCUAGGACUGAGCAGGAGUGCUCCUCCUGGCCUAUCUGUGCUGUGCCACCACUGGAGGGUGGGGCAGCCUUGCUUGCUCUCCUAUCCCAUGGAGAAUUGCUCCCAUGGCCCCUGGCCCUGGAUUUUUGCUCCUCUGCUGACCUGUACAUGCUCCCAACUCACAGAGGGACCCAAGGCAUUAAUUCUCCAAGCAAGAUGAUUGAAGGCAUGGGGAAAGGCACUGGUGGGGAAGAGAUCAGUGAUCUUGUAACAGGGCCCUUUGCUGUAACAGGGGUCCACUUCAUACUUUGAAUAUAACCUUGCUGUUCAACCACGGGCAGCUUAUUUUAAAACUGACAUGUUUUCCCCCUUCCUCUUCUCCCUCUUCACCUCCUGAGCAAAGGGGAAGCAAGAGGAAUGUUCUUUCUGUCCUAAGCUGAGUUAUCUUCCCUUCCUUCCAUUCAAUGAAUAAGGAAACUGGAGACCUACUAAUUGAAACGAUUGCUCUUCCAAUGAUAGAAGUCAAACAUUAAUUACUUCCAUAGAGAGAGAGAACUUGGAGAACAGCCCUUGUAUCCCCCUUUAAAAGCCCUCUAUUCCUCCUUUGGCAACCUCUGUGACAUGAGUCUUCUGUCUUUCUCUUUUGCUAGCAAAGCAAUAAAACUUCUUUUUUUCCUUUACUCAAAAUUAGUCUUCUUUAUUGAGUGAAAUUCAGGGAUGAGGAUUGAGUUUCUUGUCACCAACAUGAGUGACCAUUUUCAGUUGAGGAAACUGAAGUCUCAGAGAAUUGCUGGUAUCUGUAGGAGCUCAUUUCUGUGAGAGGAGAGACAGGGUGCUGACCCUGGUCCUACUGGGUCAGCCUUGUGCCUGUUCUUUUCAUUGCAACAAUCAUUUGAAGGAGAACAAGCAUUCUGUCUCACUAUACUGCUGAAAAACUUCUAUCCAACUGCAGCAAAGAUUCUUCUUCUUUCAAUGAGUGGUUUCCGGGGAUGGGGAGAAAGUGAGGGGGAGGGAUGAGACUGGGGGACAUGUUCUGGAAUCAGUGGUGAUGGCUGUACAACAGCAAAAAUGCAAUUAACUGCUGAAAUAAACAUUUUUAAAAUAAGUAAAAUAUUCAUUUUUAUUCAAAAUUAAUAGUAAAAACAAAAUCCAACAAUGAAAAUAGGGAAACUAGUGAAACAGUAAGGGAGCACAGGGGCCUCCCUUGGGCAUUAGCAGGUCCAAGGUGGUGCUCAGGAGCUGGCAUUGGCUAUGGAGCCACUAGGAGCUCCAGAGCUGGAGGUGAUAGUGAAGGAGUUUGGGGUCCUGGCUCUCCCUCUGGUGCUUGAGGUGAUGAUGGAAGUGCCACAAGUACCAGAGGUGACCCUGCAGUUGCAAGAAGAGAAACAAUCACCAAAUGACCAUGUUCUUUUCAGGGGCAAAUUAUUUCUCACUGCCUUUCAGAGGAAACUCUAUAUACAAAGCCACCACUGGAAUGGGUUCCUAGAGAGUUUGCUCUGUUUGUAAUUUUCCUGCCCCUCUCAUCUUCUGGAAGCUCUGCUCUGCAUACCCAGCUCCAUCUCAUUCCCAGUGCUCACAGACCCCAACCCCAGUCCUCCUUACCUUAAAACUCUGCCUCAGUGGGUUUCAGGGGCUUCCACAGGGCCCUGAGUAGGGAACCUCAGUGUUCCAGGUAGAGCCAGGGGUGUUGGGCUUCACCCAGAUUAACACAUUGGGGAAGGGCCACCUGGGCCUGGUCCACAGGGUUUACUACAGGAGCCCGUGAUGGAGGAGGUGGUACUGAAGUAGGACAGAAGAGGCCAGACACCUAAGGAAUGUUCAGGAAGCAGGUUUAUUGACUGCAGAAUUCAAAGGUGGUUCUCACCUAAGCAUUCUUCCUCUAAAAAAUGAGUAUAGAAAUUCUUUGAACUUUAUACCCAGGGUGUGGGGGGAGGGGAUUAGGAGGUUCAUACGACAAGUGUGUUUCAUUCCGCCCUCUAGACAGAUGCAGGUUUCACAAGUUUUUUCUGCAAACCUUGCAUUUAUGAACAAAGAGGGAGCCACAAACCACAAUGUCUUCUGCAGAUUUUUGCUGUUAGCUGAUGUCCUGUGGAAAAAACUCUCUGAUAAAAAGAGGAAUUACAUGCCACAAAUAUGGUGGAGGUUUCUGCUUAAUGAUGGUAAGGGUCCUCUGGGUGGGGGUCCCUGGCCUGCUUUAUUGCUGGGCAAAGGAGGGUCAGCAGCUGAGUGAGAGGCCUGGUCUUGUUUCCCAUGCUGCCCUCGAAGGGCGACCCUGCAUGGCUGAGCUCCUGGGCCUGCUUUCCUUGCCUGUCAAGAGGCCAGGCCCAUCAUAUGCCAACCCCAACAUGGCAACCUUGACCCAGAUAGCUCUAGUCACUGAAGAGACGCUGAUAAAACGUCCCAUCGGUAGAAGUCCUGGAUCAAUGGUAUGAUCACCUCACCCUUCUUCAGGGAAGCUUGACACUGUCUGCUCCUUCCCCACUUGACCACCCAACCCCAGGAGGAAAGGGAAGGGGUACCUUCUGUGUGCGUUGCUCUCACUGUCUCAGGCUCGUGCUCCAUAAAUAUGUGAUUGAGGAGGAAACAAUGGGAGUCUGUUGGGCCAGCCUUCCCUGGGUCUUCUAGCUUACAUAAUGGCAUCUGCCAGAUCUCCUUUUACCUUGUCCCACUGAGAUGUGUGCAUGUCAAGAGGAAGCCAGGAGGAUGCCAUAGAUGCUGUAAUGUGGAAACUACCUCCUCUGAUAUCUAGGGUGUCUCUGUGACCUGGACUAGAAUGGAAGUCAAAGAUUAGGGUUUGCUGUCUGCUCUGUUCAUUGAUGAUGGUCAGUGCUCAGAAAACUCUCUGCCCAUAGUAUAGCUUCAUAUCUACUCAUUCGACGUUGGAAUGCCAUCACCUGCUUCCAAGAUGUCUAAGGGAGCCUGGGCACCUCUGCCAGCCCCCAUGGAAUCCAGUUCAGGUACAGCCAGAAGCCUGCAGAGGGAACCUCAAAUCUCCUUCACAAUGAAGAAAAGAGCUGAGUCCAAGUCCAGAGGGUGAGUGAGGGGUGAGGCAAAAGCUUCAUUCUGGGGGGAGAAGAAAAUAAUCAGAGAAUAAGCACAUCACCCGCCCCCCAGCAGAUCUUUCUAAGGGACCAAGCCCUGGGUGAACACUUUCCAAGGAAAUCCCACUUAGUCCUCAACAAUCCUAUGAGGUUGACCUGCUUGGCACCCACUGUUCAGAGGUUCAGUGGUGAAGUUGCACUGUGCCUGGAGGGCAGGCAUCGCCUUCUAAACAUGAGGACCUGUUGUGUAGAGAUGAAGAUUCAGUAGGUGUUGGUGAAGGAGGGGCUGGAGGAGGGGUGGCCCCCCAAGACAUCAGGCUCCAGGGCCUCCUCCAGGAUCUGUAGCGUACCUGCUGCAACCACCCAUAGAGUGGGGUUUUAUCCCCCUCCAUGGCCAACUCUCCCCUCUGUGGUGGGACAGUGGGGGAGACAGUCAGUGGCCAAACUGUGACCUUUGCCAAAAUAAUCUACAUAUAUAAUAAAAUCUCAAUCAAUAUUCCAAUGGUCACUUUAUGCAAAAAUGGAAAAGCUAAACUACCAAUUCCUAUAGAAUUAUGUAGGAACUCAAUUAACCAAAACAGUCAUAGAAAUGAAGGAUAAACUGCUCGAUUUCAAAGGUUACUAAAAAGCAACAAAGUAGUUUUGUAUUCAAAAAUAGAGUGGUAUGGGUAGAAGCUCAGGCUACAGAUCUUGGAAUAGAAUUUAGAGUACAGAAACAGACAAAAAUAUCUACAUUGCAUUGAUAUUUCCAAGAGUGUUCACAAGAGAAAAAUAGUGUCUUUAAUAAAUGUUGCUAAGGAAAUAGGUAUCCAUGUGCAAGAUAAGGUUUUGGGACCCUUGCCUCACCUGAUAUAACAAAUAAAUACAAAGUGGAUCAAAGACCUAAAUGUAAGUUCUUAAAUGAUAAAACUCUUAGAAGAAAACAGGCAUACAUCUUCUUGACCAAGGCUUAGGCAAUGAUUUCUCAGAUCUGACACAAAAGGCACAAGCAGUAGAAGAGAAAGCAAACUGGACCUCGCAAAAAUGAAAAUUUUGUGCAUCAAAGCACACUAUCAAGGAAGGUGAGAAGAAGCCUACAGAAUGGGAGAAAUUGACAGCCAGUCAUCUAGAGGGUAUGAAGAACUCUUCCUUUCCAUGUCAGUGGUCUCCCACAGACAUGGGGAAUGUCCCCAAGCCCCUCUAGACUUCCUGGAAGUGUGGCAAGCACCAACCCAUGAAGUGAUGUAUGAAAAGGGCAAGGAUUCUCUGUGUGCAGAGGAAAGCAAUGUUGUGACAGGAAACAGAGUGGCUAUUGUGGACAGACCACACUGAUUUUCUUGGAGAAGGCUAAUGCUACAAAGAAGAUUGUGCUGAGGAUUGGGUGUGCUGAGCCCAGCUGCAAAUCUCAGAAUGCUGGCUCCUGAGAGAUUGUGAAUAGGAGGGGAUAAGAAAUGAGCAAGUGAUACAGUUCCUAGAUUCACCUUGUGUUUUAUUAUGAAGACAACAAAAUACUGAGGUUAUGUUCACUUAAAAGAGACUGAACUAGACAUUUCUCCAAAGAAGAUAUAAAAUGGCCAACAACAGGUAAAAAAGACGUUCCUGUCACCAGAGAAAUGCAGAUGACAACCAUAAUGAAAUACCACCUCCCACCCACUAAGAUGGCUGGAAUAAAAAGAAAAAGAAACCCAUAAAUUAGCUAGUGUUGGCAUAAAUGUGGAGAAAUCAGAACCCUCAUACAUGCCUGGAGAAUUGUAAAAUGCUCCAGCCACUGUGGAAACCAAUUAGGUGAUCCUCAAUAAACAAAUCUAUAAUUACCUUAGACCCGGCAAUUCAAAUUCUUAAAUGCAUAUAUAAAAAGUGUUAAAAUGGCUGUUCAUACAGACUUGUUCAAGAAUUUGCAUGGCAGCACACUUCAUAGACAUGGCAGAUAACCAUGAACUGAUGGAUGGUUGAAUUCAUAUAGUUUAUUCAUAUAAUGGAAUAUUAUCCAGCCCUAAAAGGAAGAGGACCUGACAGAUGCUACAACAUGAUGAACCUUUGAACCAUUAUUCAAAGAGAGGCACAGGGGCCAUAUAUUGCAUGAGUUCAUUUAUAUGAAAUCUCCAGAAUAGACCAACCUGUAGAGACAGCAAGCAGAUUAGUAAUUAGCAGUGACUUGGUGUGGGGAGUGGGGAUGACAGCUGGGAUGGUAAGGAGGUUUCCAUUUGGGAUGGUGAGGAUAUUCUUGACUAGAUGGCGGUGAAGGUUUUCCAAAGUUACAAGUUUACUAAAUCACACUGGGUUGUACCCUUCAAAAUGGACAGAGGGUGACUAUUACACGUGAAUUUUACUUUAGUAACUCAGGGAGAGAGUUGAAGGUGAGCCAUCCCCAGCCAUGAGGGGGUCUCUGAAGAUCCCACCUCAGUCCCAAAGAGUAGAAGAGCUGAGGAAAGCCCUGAUCAUGGGACCUUCCCUGAACUCUCCCCUUCCUCCCUGGCUCUGCUCGGGCCUGAGAAGUCGCGCGCAUCCGCGCUCCGCGCCCACAAUUUUGAAUGGGGAGCAAAAGGAACUGCUAUUGGUCCAGCCGGUGGGGCUGAGCGCUGAUUGGCUGAGGCUGGCAACGGACCUGCCCGUGCGCAGAGAGCCGUUGAGGACUCGCUGUGUGGCAGUUUCCCUGCCCUGGGCUCAGUCAGCGCCUUGUCAGCCGCCUGGUGAGCACCGCAGGAGCGCCCUGGAGCCAGGUGCUCCUGUCCAGCCCCAGUGAGUGCCGGAGGUCUUGCAGGAGGCUGGGGAGGGGACCCUCCCUCUUAGUGCCUGGUCACUCAGGCUUGCCCAAUUCACCUGUUGUCCCCGUCGGGUCUGGCUCCUCCUCUGUCCUCAGGGUCAGGUUCCUCAGUCCAGGGUUUCCUGAAUUCUCCUGAAACACUCUCAUUGAUCCGUUGCACCCUGAUGUCAGGCCUCUGGGUUCAGUUUUGGAUCCAUCCUUUUGUAUUUAGUUCCCUCGCGCCUCCCCCUCAGCCCCUGAGCAUUUCCAAAGAAAACAUUCACAAAUGGAUCUACUUCGUUGAUGGCAGAAUUGGGGAUCUAGGGUCCUCAGAACCUUCUGUGACAUCCUUCCUCUUCCCCAUAUCCGCGAGAAGCCUCUCCAGGGACCCUUAGAAACAGAAGGGGCAAAGCAUAGCGUGGCCCUGCGGUGUCCCAUCUAUCUUUGUGAUCUUGCAGAUCUGAACACGUCAUCUCUGUGAGAACAUUCUCCCCACACUUUGUGCGUGUGUUAACAAUAUCAAGCUUGGUUCUCAUGAUCACAGUGGCUGGACCCCACUGGAUGUGUGCCAGGUAGGGCAGGGGUCAGUCCAUACAAAGAGCAGUCUUUCCAGUGGGAAUAGCCACUGCACCCUUGAGGGGAGUUGCUGGCCUGCAGAGGAGCGCUCCUCUAGGGGCCUUUCCUGGCUCUGGCUCCUCUCUCUUGACAGCCUGGUGCACCAAGUGGAGGCUGUUCUCAUCUCCCUCUGUGGACCUGCUCUAGCCCUUGAUCCCUGGCCCUGACGAGAACUUUUUCUCUGAAAUGAACCUAUUUUUUAUGUGGCCAAGGCUGCUUCUCACUUGUUAGGUCCAGCUCAGUUCUUACUACAUCGAAUAACUGCAUUCCCCAAUUUCCCUGGCAAAAUUCAUCAUCCUGCAAUGAGAUCUCAGUCUGAUUUCAUACAUCCUGUGCAGGCCCUGCAGACAAAACCAAAACCAAACCAAAGAACAUGACUGCGUUUAACACCACGUGGGUGGUGUAGUCCCCAUAGCAGUCAGGGAAAACAGCAGGGGGACACAGGGAUCACUUUUGAUAAGGAGUGUUACAAAGAUUUGGAACUUGAGGGACAUUUUUAAGGACAGAGGAGCUCUCUUCUAGAGUGGACGCUGUCAGGAAGCAGGGAAUUCUAUUAGUGGUGGUCUUCUUACAUCUUAUGCAGAAAAAAGGGAAGACUGGAGGGAGGUGAAUGUUAAUUGGGGACAAAGCAGCUGUCACUUAAGUUCACCAGAUAGGGGAUGUUUAGUCACUUCUGUGAAUUAAUUUAUGUUCACCUUUCAUCUGUGUUCAGACAUGGUUAGAGAUCAGACUUCAUUUUUGGUCCUGAUUACUCAUUUCACAUUGAAUUUGGUGCAUGUUGAUGCUCCAUGAAUUGCUUAGGCUUCACUAGGAUUUCAGGGCCAGGCUGUGAGUGUCAAACCUGGUCCUGGCAACAGCAGGCCCCGCUGAUAGACAGGCCAACUGCUGGAGGUCGAGGCUGCUUUCUUCUUUCUCACAGGAUCUCAGGACCAGGUCUUAAAAGAUGCCUCCUAGGAGAGGGUUUCAAAUAGAUUGAGAAAAAUAUUAAAGCAUUUAUGGCACCAGAAAAUUAUCAAGACAGAAGAAAUUGGAACAAGUAUUAAAAGGGAGUCCAAAACAACAGUUUGUGACCAUUGCUUCUGCUGGGGAUGCUGUUCCUGUCCUGGCGCAGUCUCCUUUUUGCUCUGGCUGGGGUUGUCUGUUCACAUGCCCAUUUGGGAGCUUCUCUUCUGGGUGCCAUGUGCAUUGCUGCUGCUGGAGCCCCCAAAACUCAUGGAAUUUGUGUGUGUCCCUCCCUCCAGCAACCUGUGUUUACUACCUGCUGAGUAUCAAGUGCCUUGUCAAGAGUCCAGCCUCGCCUGGACCUCCACACAGGUGUCUGACAUUCACUCAGAUGGUUGGCCCUUUACUGCCCUUUGAGGAAAUCCCAGAGCCUGUGCAGGCACCUUGUGACCUCACCCAGAGCAAAGAGGAUUCAUUUUGUUAGGAGCUUAGAGAAAAGGGCAACAGAAUUUGGUGAGGGCUUCGGUGGGAUGAAAAGAUUUGUAAAAUUAGGCUUCUGUGGAAAGGUCCCAGGGAAACAUAACUGUUCUGACUCUGGGUGCCAGGUAAGUCACAUUGCCCCUUUGUGCUGUCUUUCAUUUUCCUUUUCAUAAAAGGAUUUUUAGGGUGGUGUCUAUAUUCCUGAGUAGAAAUGCAUUAUUUUGGAUGCUCUCUGUCACUGUAAGUUGCACACACAUUCUUAUACCUGCAGCAUGGUGACCUGGGCUUCCUCUCUGUUCCAGGAGUUAACAGUAUUGUUGUCCACUCAGGCCCAGAUGCGUCCAUGGCUAAAUUCAGCAUUCUGAGGAGAGGAGGACAGAGUUCCCCUGAAUAAUGUCAAGGAGCGAGGUAAGCCUGUAUGCUGCUUCUUUCUGUCAUUUUUGAUUAAUUUGCAUUUUUAUAUAACCAUAGACUAUGCAUUCCUUUUGUGUCACCUCUAGUAACUAUUUUCAGGUUUUUCGAUGCUUUUCCUAUAUCUGCACUUCAGCCUCUCAUGGCAGUGCAUAGUAGUUUACAGUUUGUUCAUACAUUCCUCUCCUAAUGGAUGUCUGCAUGUUUCCUGUGUUUGUGUGCAUAUUUGAAAGAAAUUGCUAUGGAUAUUAUGAAAAAGACAUUGUUUAAGCACUUACACUUUUAUUUCCCUUCAUUUAAUGCCUGGUCAUAUGGGUAGAUACAUGUUCAACUUUUUUCUUUGUUUUUGGUACUGGGGAUUGAAGCCAGGGCCUCAGCAUGCUAGGUGAGUGCUGUACAACUUGAGCCACAUCUCCUGUCCUUUUUCAUUUUAUUUUGAGACAAGGUCUUGCUACAUUGGCCAGGCUGGCCUGAAAUUUGUGCUCCUCCUGCCUCAUCUGCCUAUGUAGCUGGGAUUACAGGUGCACACCACAAUCCUGGCUUUGAGUUCUGCUUUUAAGAACAUUUUCAAACUGUUUCCCAAAGUGGUAUAUCAGUUUGUAUUCCCACCAAUGGUGUAUUGAGUUAUUCAGUUUCCCUAUGAGUAUUUUCAAUUCAUGCUAUUGUAUUUACAUCAUUUUAUUUUUUUGCAGAAGCAUAGUGAAUAUAAGUUGUUUGCUUUGCAUACAACUAGUUUAGCUGGGUGAUCAUUUAAAAGAGUGAAAUAAAACACAGAAAUCCCAUAUAAUUAUACUUCCCUAUUUUUGUCUUGUCCCUGAGAAUUUCAUGUAUAUAUCUAAUAGACAUCAUAAAUAAAAAACCAUUGACUGGUAGAUAUUUCUGUUGCUUCUGUAUCUAAGUAUACAUCUUAUUUUUUAUGCAUUUGUAAAAAUGAAUGGAUGCACUGUUCCUUGUACUCAGUUUCCCCCAAUGAUGACAUCUUGCAGAACCACAAUUUGCUAUCACAACCAAGAAGAUUACUUCAAUAUAGUGAGGAUAUACAAUGUUUCCAUCACUAGAAGGAGUCCACUAGUUGUUUUUUUGUAGCCAAACAAACUUUUCUCCUCCUGUCUGUGCUUUUUCCUACAGGUAACCAAUAUUAUAUUCCUCCGUUACUAGAAUUUCAUAAAUUUUACAAAAAUCAAAUCAAUCAUAGUAUUUGCUAUUUUGGGAUUAGCAUCAUUCACUCAGGAUAAUCUUCUGGUGAUGCAUACAAAUUGUUGCCAAUAUCAGUUUUCAUGACAGAGUAGUUGCCAGUAUAUAGAUGUCGUACUGUUUUUGUUUGUUUGUUUUUGUUUUAUUAUCUCCAAAAGGUCAUUUGGGAUGAAUUCAAUUCUUGGUGUUGCAAUAAGGCAGCUACAUAAAAUUUUUUUUUAAAAAUGUGCAUGUCAUCACUAAAGUCUUCAUUUCUCUGCAUAAAUUCUCAGAUGUGCAAUGGACAUAUCUAAUAUUAUUUGCACUGUUGGUAAGCUUUCCACUUCUGUGCCCAAAUACCUGAAAUGAUCAGCAUAAAAGGAGGGAUGGUUUAUUUUGGCUCAUGUUUUCAGUUCGUGCCUGGUGGUUCUGUGGCUUUGGGGCCUCAGCAUACAUCCUAGUAUUGAUGCUCCUCACAAGAGGACCAAAGUUCCAAUAUACCCCUCAAAGGCAUGUCACUAAUGACAUAUCCUUCCAAUAGGCCCCACCUCUUACAACUUCCACCAGCUACUGUCAGUACCACAUGCUGGGGACCAACUCUUCAACACAUGGGCCUUUGGAGGACAUUCAAGAUCUAAAGUAUAGCAUGCGUGUUUUGUUUUGAAGAAACUGACAAACUGCUUCCCAGGGGCUCUAAUAAUUGCAUUAUCAAUAGCAAUGUGUGAGUGAUCCUGUCUCUUCCUCUUCAGCAGCAGAAAUUGGAGAGUAUUUUUAUUUGAGCUACAUUUAUAGGUGUGUAUGAAGUAGGGGUGUUUGUGUGUGUGUGUGUGUGUUUGUGUGUGUGCGUGUUGAGAUGGGGUCUUGCUAUGUUGUGCAGUCUCCUCUCUUACUCUUAGGCCCCAAUGAUCCUUUAGCUUCAGCAGUCUGGGUAUCUCCCCUAUGCCCUUUGAUUCUCAUUGUGAUUUUAAGUUAUGUUUUCCUUAUGGAAAAAUGUUUUUCAUCUUUUUCUUUGCUUGUUGGACUCUGGAUUUUCUUCAUGACAGUAAUGCAAUUACAGAAUAAUGGCCUAGAAAAUUACAAACUAAACACAAUAUUAGAUGAAAGAAGGAAAUAAGAAAGAUUAAGAAUGAAAAUAAUGACUUGUGCCAUGGCACAUGCCUGUAAUCUCUGUAGCUGUGGAGGAUCAUGUGUUCAAAUCUAGCCUCAGCAACUCAGCAAGACCCUGACUCUAAAUAAAAAUAUUAUAGAAGGACUGGGGAUGGGUCUCAGUGGUUAAUCACUCCUGGGUUCAAUCACUCAUACCAAAAAAAAAAAAAAAAGGAAAAAGUGAACUACAAAAUAGAAAAACAGUGGUAAAAUCCAUAAAAUCCAAAAGUUGGCUUUUCAAAAAGAUCAGCCAAUUAAAAGGUAAGACCCAAACUAUAAGAGUUGAACAUAGGGUCAUCUGCCUUACAGAAAGAAAAGGCAUCCAGAGAGAAUACUCUGAACAAUAUAAGAUAGUGAAUAACCUAGAUGAAAAAGCAGGAGUUUUUCCCAGUGAAUCAGUAGGAGGCCACCAGGGAGCACAAAGUCACCUUGCACAAUGAAGACAAGGAUCCUGCCCUGAGCUCCUAAGGCCACUAGAGGGUGCCGAAUCCUGCUUUCUGCCCUAGAUGGUGCACAGGCUUGUGGAGCCUGGGCCUGGUUUCCUCAGAACCCAGCCCUGGAAGCUUGUCCUCCACUUGGGUGGAGGGGGAGCCUCAUCUAUGCUGAGGAGAAGGUCUGUUGGAGGCCCUGAUGCCCGAGGAAGGCACUUUUGUUGCCGCUGCUCUUGGACGUUGUGUUAAGUAGGCCAUUCCCAAAGGUUUGUUCUUUCCUUCCUCACACUUGAACAACAAUGACCCAUUUAUUCCAGGUGGAGGCUCGUCAUAACAGAGGAGGAAGAUGAGGUUUUGUGCAGACGCAGGUGGUUUUGCAGGAGAAAUUAUCAGGACACACACAGAGAAAGGGAUAGCUACAAUUGGGGACAGAAUGGACCAAGCCUUGUAGCUGUACUGAUGAGGUAGGGACACAGGACUUUCUAGGGGUGAGGGGUGAGGAAGGCCAGGGGGAAGGGUCAGUUAACAGUGGUCCAUGUAUUUUUGUAAUUAUUGUUUUUAACCCUCAGGUAAAAGCAGUUGAAAAACAAGUGGCGAAUUGAAAGGGGGUCAAGUAAAACUCAUGACAUUUUGGUUUAAAUAUUGCAUAUCAAAACUAGAAUUCAGUACAAAUGUAAUUUCCUGGAUUUUAUGAAAACAAAUCAUAUGUUUAAAAAGAUACUUAUUAGUUCUUCUCAUUUUCAACUGAGAGACUUCUCAUAUUUGAUCAUUGCUCAUGACCAGUGAAGACCUUAAAUAAUUUUAUAUUAAUUUGCAUUGGCUAAAUCAUCUUUCAAAGGACUGUAUUGUGACUGGUGAUGUUUAAAAAUAAUCUGUCAAUGUGACUUCCAAGUGUGGGUAUUAUUGCACUGAGCAAAAUUUGUCAAUCACAUUUAGAAGAUCCCCAAAACAAUGGUGAUGUUUUAGUAACAAUUAUUGAUAUUUUGUGGUGCUAAAGGCCAUUUAUAUGAAAUAUCUACAGAAUUUAACACAAAAUCCAGUGGUGGAGUUUUUGCAUGAGAUGUUUGUUGAAUUAAAUUUUCCCUUUUUAUUAUUCAAUAUCUGAAUAUAUUUAAUUUUGUAUAUCUCCAAAGCAAUGGGGAAAAUUAGGAUCAAUGUAACAUUCUUUAAAAAUGUGUUAUAUAAGAAAAAUUGCAGGCUGAGGUUGUUCCUCAGUGGUAGAGUACUUGUGUAGCACAUGUGAGGCACUGGGUUUGCCCUCAGCACCACAGUACAAAUAAAUAAAUAAUGUAAUUAUGUCCAUCAAUAACUAGAAAAUAAUAUUUUAAAAAUUAUGUUUAUUUCCCCAAAUAAUUGAAACUUUCAUCCUUGGAUCUUACAUUAUUAAUUUUUAUUUACUUUUUUGUUCAUUUUCUAAUGAAGUAUAUUCAUAUCUUGUAUAUUCAUAUACAAGUAUAUUCAUAUCUUGUAACAGUUUUUCUUCAAACAUUCUUGUAGUUACUUUCUUUUCUUCUGAGUAAAGACCUCCUAUUAUGGAAUGCAGAUUUAUUUUUUGGAAAUUAUUUUGUUGUUAUUGGAAAGUCUAUUUCAUUUUCUCUAUUUUUCUCCGAAAUAUCAUCCCAUAUUUAUGAGUUGUAGAAAGUUUCUAAUUUAUUUCCCCAAGGAAGGAUUUGAUUUUGGUUUAGGGAAUUUUUUCAAUUGGCAUGAUAUAUCUGAUGUAUAUUCCAUACAAUAGCUCAAUGUUUAAUAUAUAUUUCAUGUGUAUGAGCAUAGUGAUCAAUGUUGAUAAUUUUUGGGGAAAAUAUUUUGAUUACUACAACUGUGCCUCCUAGUGCCACAUGGAUGGGGAAAUCCCAGUCUCACCUAGUCUCUCAGCACUCUCCAUACUGUACAAUUCUGCCACAAUAAAGUGAGUCCCUUGUACCUUUACACACCUGAACAUGCCAGUAGAAUCUCACAGAGCAGAAGUCAGAAUGAACCAAUAAACUCUAUCUUUCUGCUGUCCUCUGAUGAACACGUUUGAACAGACUCAAUCAAAUUAGGCCUAGGAUGAAAGUUAGAACCGAUACUAGAGCCAUCUUCUGCAGUCAUGGAGAGUGAACUGAAGGAGACAUUCUAGUAUGGUGUGUCGCUUAUCAGGAAGAGGGAGAGAUGUGAGUGAAUGUCCUUCUCCACAGAGUUGGGAAUGGGGUAAAAGGCAGACAGUUUCAGGGUACCCAGCAGGGGAAGUGGUUUAUGUGGAAAAGCAGUAAUGAAAAAAAAAUAUCUCUCCACAGCUGAGAGGAAUCAGAGAAAAUUAUGAAAAACAGUUGUCUUCAAAGAAAGUCAUGUUCCAAUUUUGUUUUGGUUCCAAGAGAAAGACUUCAAAUACUAAAGUAUGGAGAGCUCAUCGAUAAUAUGAGGAACACAGUAGACCGCCUUAUCCUGGAGGAUCUGUUCCAAGAUCCCCAGUGGGUGGCUGAAACUACAGAUAGUACUGACCCCUAUCUACAAGCAGUGCAAUUCUCCCCAGUUUAUCUCAUGUCCAGAUGGUUGUCAAGGUACUGAUGGGUGGGUAGCCUAUAGAGCAUGAAUCCAUUGGACAAAGUAUGAUUCACUUCAUGGUCAGGACAGAGAGUGAUAUUGCCUGAUUUCAUCAUUCAUUCAUAAUCAUGAGUAAUUUAAAACUUAUACAUUAUUUAUAGCUCUGAUUUUAAAUUACAUAAGUAAAUUAUGGGUGAGUGAAAACAUAGAAAGUGAAAUUUUUUUCAUUAGUUCUUCUUAGAUAUGUUAGCAGAUUAUAUUUUCAUAUAUUAUUCACUCAUGGUAAAGUGAAAUCUUUGAUGAGAGGGAACUGGUGCAUUUAGACUUUUUUCUUUACUAUGACCAAAAGACAUGACAUGAAAAAUUAGAAGAAAAUUUUUUCUCUUGUGAGGGUUGGAUGUCACAGUUUCAGAGGUCUCAGUGUAUAAAUGGCUGGCUCCAUUUCUCUGGGAGUUAAGGUGAGGCAGAACAUCAUGUUGGAAGAGUGUGGUUGAGAAAAGUGGCUCAUGACAUGAUCAGGAAGCAUGGAGAAUAUGCUCAGCUCACAAAAUAUAUACCAAAGGCAUUCCCCUCCCAGAUGACCCACCUCUUCAGGCACACCCUAUCUGCCUAUAGUCACCACUCUGUUAAUCACUAUGAGGGGAUUGAUGAUGCACUCAUUGUUUAAGGCUGUCAUAACCCAAUCAUUUCACCUGAAAACUUUCUUGUAUUAUCUUACAUAUGAGCUUGUGGGGGACACCCAAAAUCUGAUUCUGCCACAGCACAUUUUUCCAACAGGGACUUAGGAAGGAUGAAUUAUGAUGAGAUUUGUAAUGAAUUUAACUUAUCCCAUUGUAAACUGCAUGAAUUUCACCAUACCAAUAGAUUUUUUUCAGUUAUAAGGAUCAUGAAUACUUCCAAACAGGAAAAAGAUACAUGAACAUGUGUCUGUCAGUAAGCCAUCAGUGUUCCCAAGUCCAAUAGAUCAGUAAGAUAGUAACUGUACAUGACACUGAAUUAGAGGAGUCCAAUGCCAGUUUCCUCCCAUUCUUUUUCAGAGCAGCAACAGUGAGAUACCUUCAGUCCUCAGAUAUUUAAGACUUGCAGCUUCUUGAUAGUGCACCAAAGAUGCCAGUCUGGGAGGGGACUGAAGCCAAUCCAGCUCCUGAGGUAAGUUAGCAGUGGAAAUCUCAUGAGUUGUUAGAAGUCUCACAGAACUCAAGUGGCAGGUAACGCCAGAACAGGGGCUUCCAGAAAAAGGUAACCUUGAAAUACUAAGGUGCAGUUGAGAAGGACCCAGCAUUCCCCUUGGCCUCCUCCUUGCCUCAGCAGGGAAUGAGCUUCCUGAGCUCAGGUUCAUCAUGAGGGCUUGGCCAGGUCUUGGAUCUGUGAUGGCAGAGAGCUGAUGGAGGGUAUUCCAAGUUGAAUAUUCUGAGAGGAGGAAUCACAAACCCUCUUUCUUUUCCUCAUUUUCUUAGGAUUGUUCACAUACUCAGAUUUCUUGCCUGAGGCAGAGUGUCCCCAAGUGCCUCAUGACACCUCCAGAAAAAGAAGACAUGUUUCCUGUUACUCUCAAAGGCACUGCAGAUUUCUGGCUGCAGGUUCUGAUGCUUUUGUGAUGAAUUUUCUGAUGCUUUUGUGAUGAAUUAGAAAAGUCAGGGCUCAACCCUCUCUCUCACCACGAAAAAUUUGAUCUCCCAAGAUGAAACCUUAGAACCAGGACAAAAUGUAAGCAGAGGUUAAUAGUUAAGGUGCAAAACUGUCUUGAAUAGGAGGAACAUUACUCAGCCCUAGACAUUUAGCAGCACUGAUUCUGGUUUUUGCUUUGGAGGUGCUGAGAAUGGAACCCAGGGCCAUGGACAUGAUAGCUAAGCAUUCCAGCACACAGCAACACCACCAGCUCAGUGCUGCUGUCUUUAAGACUCAUGUGGAAUUGUUAGACUUAAUGUGUCAGUAAUCUGAUUUUCAUUUCAAACCUAAUUUGUUUGCAUGCAGAGAGAUCCAUGCAUGAGUAGAAGUAUACUUUAGACGUUGAUAUCAUACUACUGAGAAAAUGAAAGAUCUGUGGGGCUAAUGAUUGUUUUAGUGUUACGUUGGUAAUAUUAUGAGUGAAUUACAUAGAUAUGUAUGAUAAAUUAAUUAUAUUUCAUAGUAAAAAUAUUUAAAUAUGUAAAACAUUAACAAAUACCAAACUGCUAAAUAUAUGCUUGUAUUAAAGUAGGAUUUGCUAUAGACUAGACUAUCCACCAAGAGAAAUCAAGAGAAGUUCUAUAUUUAGGAUAAACAAGCCAUACUCUGAAUUGCUGUUUGUGUUCUCUUAACAACAGCAACAAUAUGAAGAAAUAAAGACUUUAAGCAACUACUGUAAGGCUGGACAUGAGUCCUGGUGCAUUCCUCUCUUAGAGAAGUUCCUAAGGCAUAAUGGAAAACAUUAUGAAAUUUUUUCAAAAACUUGAAAGAACUGCCAUAUAAUUGAUCUAGCAACCCCCCAUUUGUUUGUCGAUGAAUAAAGAAUAUGUGAAGUGUGUGUGUGUGUGUGUGUGUGUGUGUGUGUGCGCGCGUAUGAUAGGGUAGGUAUUGAGAGAGUGAGAAUGAUAAUAUUAUUCAAUCAUUUUUUUCCUUCAUAAAUGGGGGUUUAUCCCAGGGGCAAUUUACCCCUUAGCCACUUCCCAAGCUCCCCACCCCCUUUUUUGUAAGAGAGAGAGAGAGAGAGAGAGAGAGAGAGAAAUUUUUAAUAUUUAUUUUUAAGUUUUCAGUGGACACAUCUUUAUUUUAUUUUUAUGUGGUGCUGAGGAUCAAACCUAGUGCCCCGCGCAUACAAGGUGAGCGUGUUACCUCUUGAGCCACAUCCCCAGCCUGCCAAGUCCUUUUUAAUUAUUUAUUUAGAGACAAGAUCUCCCUAAGUCACUUAGGGUCUUGCUAAGUUGCUGAGGCUGGCUUUGAAUUCAUGAUCCUCCUGCCUCAGCCUUCAAAGCUUAUGGGAUUAUAAGAGUGUGCCAGAACACCUGGCUAUUAUUCAGUCUUAAAAAGAAAAUCCUCUCAUUUGUAACAGCAUGGAUUCCUGAGGACAUCAUGCUACUGAGAUCAGCAGACACAGAAAGAGAGAUACUGCUUGAUCUCACUUCUGUGUGAAACCUAAAAUAGUCAAACUCAUAGAAGCAGAGAGUCCAUGGUGGGCAUGAGGGCUGUUGAUAGGGGAAAAGGGAUAGGUGAUGUUGGUUAAGGUUAUAAAGAUUAUACACGAUGGAGAAUUUCUAAAGAGCUAAUGAAUAGCAUGGUGAUUACAGUUAAUAAUAUGGGCUGUUUAAAAAUUGCUAAGGGGGUAGAUCUUGGGUAUUGCUAAGGGGGUAGAUCUUGGGUAUUCUCAAUACACACACACACAUACACAUACACACACACACACACUCAGAAGAAAAUGGUGACUGAGCUGAAAGAUAAGUUCAGUAAUUUGUUCUGAUCAUUUCACAGUGUAUCCAAACCUCAUGUUCUGUACAUCAAUGUAUACAAAUUUAAUUUCACAGUUACACCUCAACAACAGUGUUAACAAAAACAGUAACCAAGAGUCUGCAUGGUGUGGGCACCAGUGCCGAAGGAUGGAACAAGGUCAGCCAUUCUCAGGGGAUGCACCCAAAGAGCCAUUCAGCGGGACAGUGCCUUCUCACUGCUGAGAAGCAAUCUGUCUCUUUAGGAGGUCUUGGGGAUUGUUUCCAGGGAAUAUCACCACUCUCUAGAUCAAAAAGCACUGGUGGAUUUGCAGCAGGAAUUACCUCACUGCUGCCCACAAAGCUCCUAUCAUCAGCAUGAAAGGUUUAUGUUUUAAGUAGGAUCAAAGCUAUAGCUACUUAUUUUCCUUAUUAAUUGCUCUGUUUUUGAAGAUUCUGAGUUGGUAAAUUAUAAUUUCCUCUACUGUUCACAGUAGGUCUCUAUUUAAUCCUUCCAUAGAUAAGUAGCUUUUGACAAAUCCAACAACUGAGGUUGGCCUGCUGGAUGCAUAAGGAAAUACAAAGGAACAAGAGUUAAAUAUAAAAUGCUUUGGUUAUUGAUACUUUUCAUGUCUUCAGUGGAAUAAAGGGAUAGACCAAGCUUAUAUGGUGACCCAAGCAAACUGUAGCCUUUAACUGAGAACCCCUUUUGGGAAAGAUGAUUACAGUGGGUUGUUUCUCUUCCAGAAAACUUUAUAUGCAACACUUAGCAUCAGAAUCUUCUCCAAAGGGGAAACUAUGCUGAAACUUCACAGACAAAAGUUUCAGCAUAGUUUUCUUCCUAGCCUUCUUCACAGACAUAAGAAGGCUAGGAAAAUUCCCAAGAGAAUAAGCAAGGACAGAGUAGAGUCAAGAGAGUCAAGGAGAGAGUCAUAUCAGCAGGCUUUAAACAGUUCUUAAUAAAUGGGAUGAAGAAAUCAGAUAUUGAUAGAGUAAAUAGCAAAGCUUAGUACAAGACUCCCAGAAGUUGUGUGGCCCCAUAAGAUCUCCCAGAUUGUCCCAAGAAAGAAUCUACUUUGUCCAACCUAGUUGGUUUGAAUCCAGAAAACUUGACCCUGAGUUUCCUGGGAAAAUAGUCCCACCAUCUGAUCAGCACAAGGCCUGAUGGAAAGGAGAAGUUCUCUUAUGUACACAAAAGAGUGAAAAAAUGGUCCAAAGAUUGAAAAUAGAUAUUUCUGGGACUCUUUCACACAGGAUCCCCAUGCACCAAACCCACUGGGGAAUAUCUAAUUAGGGUAUACUUAGCUUGAGAGGACAGAAAUCUGCCAGGUUUGGUAGAAUUAAAGGAAAAUUGUGGAUGAAAACAAAUGUUUUAAAUUCUUCAUGAGAAUAUUGUGUUUCAUUGAACUGAGUGUUUUAUGGAGAUAGAUACUGUUUGAGGAAUUUUUUAAACUAGUGUUGUACAACAGAAGCUGGUAAGUGUCGUCUUUUUAAAAAAAUUUUAUUCUAAUUUCUUAUAUAUGACAACAGAAUGCAUGACAAUUCAAGUUACACAUAUAGAGCACAAUUUGUCAUAUCUCUGGUUGUGUACAAAGUAUAUUCAUACCAUUCAUGUCUUUAUACAUGUACUUAGGGUAAUGAUGUCCAUCUCAUUCCACUGUCUUUUGUACCCCUGUGCCUUCUCCCUUUCCCUCCUAUUCCUUUGCCCUAUCUAGAGUUCUUCUAAUCCUCCCAUGUUCCCCCUCCCAACCGCAGGAUGAAUCAGCCUCCCUAUGUCAGAGAGAAUAGUCAGCAUUUGUUUUUUGGGGGGAUUUGCUAAAUUCAUUUAAUCUCCAACUCCAUUCAUUUGCCUGCAAAUGCCAUGAUUUUGUUCUGUUUUGCUGCUGAGUAGUAUCCCAUUGGAGAUAUAUAUAUAUAUAUAUCACAUUUUCUGUGUCCAUUCAUCUACUCUAGGGCAUCUGGGUAGAUUCCACAAUUUAGGUAUUGUGAAUUGUCCUGCUAUAAACAUCGAUGUGUCUGUGUCCAUGUAGUAUGCUGUUUUUAAGUCCUUUGGGUAUAGAUCAAGAACUGGGAUAGCUGUGUCAAAUGGUGGUUCCAUUCCUAGUUUUUCAAGGAAUCUCUAUAUUGCUUUCCAGAUUGGCUGCACCAAAUUGCCGUCCCACCAGCAAUCUAUGAGUGGGCAUUUUCCCCUCACAUUCUCGCCAACACUUAACUGUUGUUUGUAUUCUUAAUAGCUGCCAUUCUGACUGGAGUGAGAUGAAAUCUUAGAGUAGUUUUGAUUUGCAUUUCUCUAAUUGUUAGAGAUGUUGAACAUGUUUUCAUGUGUUUGUUGAUUGAUUGUCCAUACUCUUUUAAGAAGUGUCUGUUCAGUUCCUUGGGCCAUUUACUGAUUGGGUUAUUUGUUUUAUGGUGUUUAGCUUUUUGAGUUAUUUAAGUAUUCUAGAGAUUAGUGCUCUAUCUGAUAUGUGAGUGGUAAAUAUUUGCUCCCAAGAUGUAGGCUUUUUAUUUACUGAUUGGGUUAUUUGCUUUGUGGUGUUUAGCUUUUUGAAUUAUUUAAGUAUUCUAGAGAUUAGUGCUCUAUCUGAUAUAUGAGUGGUAAAUAUUUGCUCCCAAGACGUAGGCUUUUUAUUUACCUCUCUGAUUGUUUGUUUUGCUGAAAAGAAGCUUUUUAGUUUGAAUCCAUCCCAUUUUUGAUUCUUGAUUUUAAUUCUUGUGCUAUAGGAGUCUUAUUAAGAAUACGACAUGAUAGAGAUUUGAGCCUACUUUUUCUUCUGUUAGAUGCAGAGUUCCUAGUUUAAUUCCUAGGUCCUUGAUCCACUUUGAGUUGAGUUUUCAGAAUGGUGAGAGAUAGGGGUUUAUUUUCAUUUUGUUGCAUAUGGAUUUGCAGAUUUCCCAGUACUGUUUAUUGAAGAGGCUAUCUUUUAUCCAGUUCAUGUUUUUGGCACCUUUGUCUAAUAUAAGAUAAUUGUAAUUUUGUAGGUUAGUCUCUGUGUCUUCUAUUCUGUACCAUUACUCUACUAGCCUGUUUUGGUAUCAAUACCAUACUGUUUUUGUUACUAUUGCUCUGUAGUAUAGUUAAGAUCUUGUAUAAUGAUGCCACCUGCUUCACUCUUCUUGCUAAGGAUUGCUUUAUUAGCUUUUCUGCAUUUCUUAUUUUUCCAGAUGAAUAUCAUGACUGCUUUUACUAUUUAUAUGAGGAAUGCCAUUGGAAUUUUGAUUGGAAUUAAGCAUUAAGUUUGUAUAGUGCUUUUGGUAGUACAGUCAUCUUGACAAUAUUAAUUCUGGCUAUCCAGGAAGAAGGAAGAUAAUUCUGUCUUCUAAGGUCUUAUUUAUUUUUUUCUUUAGCAUUCUGUAGUUUUCAUUGUAGAGGUUGAUUGCCAAGUAUUUUAAAUUUUUUGAGGCUAUUGUAAAUGGUGUAGUUUUCCUCAUUUCCCUUUCAGAGGAUUUGUCACAAAUGUACAGAAAUAUCUUUGAGUUAUGGAUGUUUAUUUUGUAUCCUGCUAUUUUGCCUAAUUCAUUUAUUAGUUCUAGAAAUUUUCUGGUGGAAUUUUUGGAUCUUCUAGGUAUAGAAUCAUAUUGUUGAGAAAUAGUGCUAAUUUGAGUUCUGUGUCCCUUAAUUUCUUUUGUAUGUCUAAUUGUUCUGGCCAGUGUUUCAAGACCUAUAUUAAAUAGAAGUGGUGAAAGAGGGCAUCCUUUUCUUGUUCCAGUUUUUAGAGCAAAUGCUUUCAAUUUUUCUGCAUUUAGAAUGAUGUUGGCCUGGAGCUUAGCACAGAUAGCUUUCAUGAUCUUAAGAUAUGUUCCUGUUAUCUCUAGUAAUGUGCAAUAUUAAUUAGACAUUCUAAAUUUGAACAAGAUGAUUGCUUGAGCCCACACAGAGAAUGGGAUUUGAAGAUCAUAGGCUAGAAUCUGGAGUACUGGAAUGGACAGAUACUUUAUAACAUUGUUCUGGGUAAAGUGUAACCGGGUGCUUGCACAAAAACCUGUGAGCCACCUCCCAAUGAUAACUGAUAGAACUUUGACAAAGAGAGCGUUCAUUCAAAGGGUAAUUACUCCCUUGCUAUUAGUUGAAAAUGCCCCUGUAACUGAAUAACAGAAAAUAUCCCUGAAACACAAAAUAUGCAUGAUGUCUUAGGUGAUGUUGGAGGCAUGGUGUAAUGGGGAGGGCUGGUAAUAAAUGAAAAGGCUUGUGCAGAAACCUACUCUCAGGAGACAGAGUUAGUUGACAUAUUCCUGAGCAGUUUGGUCUUUUCCCUAGGACUGACUUUAGAGCAACCUGUGGAAUUGUGGGAUUCUAUCCCCACUUGGACUCUUCCCUUUGAACAGCUAGUGAUUGACAAGCAAAGAGCUGGUUGGUUUCUGGGUGGCUGCAGCACACAUGCAGUGAAAUUAAGAAAAGGUAAAAGCAGAUCAACUUUGUAGGUUGAAUAACAUGAUGUUUGCUCUGCAUUUGGUUUUUAUCCUGACUGAUGGGAGUCAGACUCAGUCACCUGCCCUAAUUAUGAGGCAGAAGGACAAAGGAAAGCUGGUCUAUUUAGGGAUUGCCUCUAUGGGGUACAACCCAUAGAAAUCACUAGGGGAUGUGAAAGGUGCAUUGAAGUAGGAGUUGCCAUUGUUUACCAGAAGACCCUCCGUCCAGGAUUGGGACAUAAUUUGAAUUGACAAGUAGGUUUCCCAGUGUGCUUGCUUGAGUUGGUCACCUGGGUGCAUGGUAGGGGGCUGUAGCAACACACAGAUGGGCUGUUUCCAGACAUGUUGAAUUUGCACCCUGUGAGGUACAAGGUAUCGGUAAGAACUGUCCUGUCUGUGAGGGAGGGAGGAGGAUGGUGCCUCUGACUAUGGGGCAGAUUCCCAGAAGAGAAGGCCUUGCCCAGAGCUGGUAAUUCUGUAUCCCUGGGACACUAUGGUCUGUACCUGUAGGAAGAGAAAUAGACUCUGGACUGGCUCAUGUGGUCUUGAAAGCUGAUGAGUCCCAAGAUCUGUCUUCAGCAAGCUGGUGGCUCAGGAGAACCAAUGGUGGAAUUCCAGCCUGUCCUAAAGGCCUGAACACUAGAAAGCCAAUAGUGUAGUUGAGGUGAGAAGGUGGUUGGAUGAUACCCAGGAAGUGAUGUUCCAGUUCAUAUCUGAAGGCAGAUGAAAUCCACAUCAUGGCUCAAAGGCAGUUGGGCAGGAGCAGAGCAGUUCACCAUUACUCAGUGUUUUUUCUCUAUCCAGGCCUUCAACUGAUUGGAUGAGGCCACUCCUGAUGGGCAGGACAGUCUGCUUUACUUAGUUUACUGACUCACAUGUUUCUCUCAUGGAAAACAACUUCACAAUCACACCCUUACUCAGGUUUUCUAAAUAUGUGAGACCCCUAUGGCCCACUGACGUGUUGACCCUUGAAGUAAACUGAUAACAAUCACUUAUGUUUCACUUAGUAAUAAAAAACUGUCUGAUACAUGAGCUGUUAAAUGUUUCUCAUCUUCUUGACAAUAAUACUUCAAUGACUUUACAAAACCAUAAGAGAUUACCCCAUAAAUUCAUAAAUCAAUUUAUGAUUAGGAACAAAAAUAUACAGAAUUUAUAUGAGUCGUAAAGUCUAAUUUUUCACUAGUUAAUUCACAAGCUACUUGGAUUAAAUGUGAUAUAAAAAUCUACAAAUACAUCCAAGCUGUAUAUAAAAUAUGAACAGAUACAUGGUAUAUGUUCCCUGAUAUAUGAUAUUCUAUCAAAGGCAAAAGUAUAGGGACAAGGAAAGGAUCAGUGGUUGCCAAGGAUUAGGCAGAGGGAGGGGUAAAUAUGUGAGGCACAGGAUUUUGGGGGCAGUUAAACUGUUUUGUAGGAUACAAUAAUAAUGGAUACAUAUCAUCAUACAUUUGUCCAAACCCGUUGAAUGCAGGAUAGCAAGAAUAAAAUCUUUCAUUGGGUGAUAAAAAUAAGUGAAUGUUUGUUGUAAGAAACAUAUCACUUUGGUGGGGGAUGUGGACAACUGGGAGCCUGUGGUAGCCAAGAGAUGUACAGGAAAUCUCUACCCAAUUUUGAUGUGCACCUAAAACUUCUCCAACAAAUGAAGCCUAUUAAAAACAGCAACAGUAUUACCCUAUAUGCAUGUAUGAUUACACAACUGGUAUAACUCUGUCAUGUACAACCAGAAGAAUGAGAAAUUUUAUUCCAUCUAUGUAUGAUGUGUCCAAAAUGCCUUCUACCAUUGUGUAUAAAUAGUUAGAAUAAAUUUAAAAAUAACAACAUAUUACAUCCCCCAAAAUAGAAGAGAGCCAUGUAAAUUAAAAUUAUUUAUAAUAGAUAGAAAUGAGAGAAUGCUUAGUACUUACAGGACAUGAAUAUAUAGAUUACUACAUAUUAUUAAAUAAUGAGAAUCAAAAUAUGUUUGAAGCCAAAUACUAAAUAACCAUUAACAAGUACCCAUUUUCAUUUCUAACUAUUGUAACCCAGCAUUUCCAAGGCACAUUUAUAACAAUAUCUGUCAAUGCAAUUAACAAGUAAAUGAAUAUGGAGUUUCUUGAAUGUUAAUCCUGCACAACAAAAGGCAAACACAUCAGUUUUUUAAAAACUAUUAUUUUUAAAAAGACAAAGCUAAUAUGAAAAUGCAUAUAAUAUUCUUCAUAUUCAUGCAAAUUAAAACCUCUCUACGAAAAAAAAAAUACUCUGAAGUCUAAAGUACAAUGAAACUUUUAUUUCACAUCAAAGUUUUUUUCCUACUUUUCAGUAGAUGUUCUUAUUGGAUUCAACCGCAAGAUAGUGAAAUUUGGGCUCUACUUUAGGGUCCAAAAGAUUGUGGCCUGUGGAAUUAAACAUUGUCAGGACCACAUAGGCACAACAAGUUUUGUAGCAGACAAAAUCUCACCCUUGCAUUUGAAAGAGAAAAGGAACUUUCUAUUUUCGAUGGAAGCACUUCUUGCUCGAUUGCAUUUUUAAUCUUUACAUCAGGAGUUGUAAAAAUGCCAAAAAAUGAUGUGAAAAAAGAAAUUUAAUACAUGUAUAUUGUGUCAUUUAUUUCAAAGCAUACCUUGAGAGCAUAUUUAAAGGAAUCUGAUAAUUUAUUCCAUUUCAGUGUGUGGCUAUAUACCAUAAUCUAUAGCAUAUAAAUAUUUACAAAGGGCUUUGGUUCACAUUUUGAAGUUUCCAUGCUAUGAUUUGCUAUUCCAAUUUUUAUGAUGAUAUAUAAGGAACGAAUUAAUCUAUUAAUGUUCUACCAAAUUUCACUGAAGAAUUUUGUUAGAGCCUAGCAUUUUUAAAAUAUCACAACUCUGAAUGCAUACUGAGCAUGCAUAUAAAUCUAGUGAACCAAAAUUGGUUUUCAAAAAGAUCAACAAAAGUGAAAGUCCUUUAUCUGUGUGUUUAAUAAAAAGGAAGACUCAAAUUACUAAAUUAUGAAAGUGAGAACAUUACUAUUCACUUUACAUUCAUAAAAAAUGUAUCUGUGCACAGUGGGGAUGGUUGCAGUCAUAGCUACUCAGGAAUCUAAGGCAGACAGAACACUUGAACCCAGGAGUUCAAGGUCAUCAUGUUCAAUAUGGACCUUGACUCAAAAAAAUAUAUUAUUAGAGAAAACUAUGAAAAAGUAUAUUCGAAUAAAUUGAAUAACUGGUAGUAAAUAUGAAAUUCUAAGAAACACAUCACCUUCUAAAGACUAAAUCUUGAGAAAUGAUAAAAAAGAGAAUACACAUAAAACUCACAAGGAGGUUAAACUAAUAAUCCAAAACAACUUUCCAAUGAAAAGUUCUAGACCAGAAUAUCAAGUGUACCAGAUGGUUGAUUCUGAACCACAUGGAGGGUUCUGAACCAGAUGACUUCACUAAAGAAGUGUAUCAGGGUUGGGGUUGUGGCUCAGAAGUAGAGCACUCACCUAACAUGCAUGAGGCACUAAAUUUGAUCUUCAGCACCACAUAAAGUAAAAUAGAUUGUGUCCACAUAUAACUAAAAAAUAAAUAUUUAAAAAACAAAAAUCUAUCAAAUGUUUAAAUAAGGGCUGGGAUUGUGGCUCAGUGGCAGUGUGUUUACCUAGCAUGUGUGAGGCCCUGGGUUGUAUCAACACCACAUAAAAAUAAAUAAAAAAGGUAUUGUGUACCAUCAACAGCUAAAAAAAUUUUUUAAAUGUUUAUAUAAGCAUUACCAGCUUUCUUUUCCAAACUUUUCCAAAAUUCAAAGAAAACACACCUUAUGCAUCUGAGAGGCCAGGAAUAACCUGGUACUGAAGCCAGGCAUAGAAUUGACAGGAGAAGGAAAUUCUAGAUCAUUAUUCCUUAUGAAUCCUGGUGCAGAAACGUUCACAAUGAUAGCAAGUGCAAUUCAGCAACUUAUUAAAGUGACUGUAUAAUAUGACCAAGUACAGUUUAUUCUAGCAACACAGGAAUAGCUCAACAUGUGAGCAUCAAUCAAUAAACCACAUAAGCAGACUGAAGUAGAGGGGGAAUAUCAUCAUCUCUGCUAAAGUAGAAGAAGUGUUUGAAAACAUUCAACACCUUAAGAAGAAAAAAAUUACGGUUAACAAAGUUGAACUAGAAGGAAACUACCUCAACAAAGAUAUUACAUGAAAAGCCACAGAUAACACCAUACUUAGUAGUAAAAGCUUGUUUGGUAAAAUUGGCAAAAUGUUCAGGAUGCCUGCUUUCCCCUUCCACUCAAUAUAAUAUUGAAAGUUCUGGCCAGAAGCAUAAGGAAAGAAAAUGAAAUUGAGGCAUCCAAAUGGGGAAGGAAGAAAUAAAAGUAUGUCCCAACACAGAAGACAUAACACAUAUGUAGAAAACCCUGAAGAUGUCACACAAAAGUGUUGGAACUAAUAAUUUCAGUAAAAUUGCAGAAUAUAAGGGUAACAUCCCAAAGGAAAUUGAAAACACAAUUCCAAGGCAUCACACUUGCUGAUUUCAACUAUGAAAAGCCAGGAUAUCAAGACACCAUGGUACUGGCAAGAAAACAGGCACAUAGUCCAGUAGAGCUGAGCUGAGAGCCCAGACUUCAACCCACACAUGUGGUCAAGUCAUGUUUGGGGGCCAGAAGCGCAUGAGAGGGCAAGGAAAGACUGGGCACCCACACACAGAAGGAUGAAAUUGGACCCUUAUUUUAUGUUCCAUACACAGAAAGGAACUUGAAAUGGAAGACAGAGUUAAAUAUUUAUCAGCCCUGAAACUCUCAGAAGAAAACCGAGGUGAAAUCUCUUGAUUUGGGUAUUAGCAAUGAUUUUUUGGACAUAACACCAACAGGAUGGGCAACAGAAGAAAACUAAACAAGCAGGGCUACAAAAGCAAAGGAAUCCAUCCAUAAAAUGAAAGGGUAAUGACCAAAGUGGGGGACAUAUUUACAAAGCAUAUCUGACAGGAGUUAAGAUGUCUCUAAUAGUGGGGAAAAGGCCUGCCUUGGCAUUUUCCCAAAGGAAGUGAAAGGUUACCAAUAGGUAUGAAAAGGUGCUCAGCAUCACUAAUGGCUGGGAAUGCAGAUUCAAAACCAAAAUGAGGUGUCACUGAGCACCUGUUAGGCUGGCUCUUGGCAAGAAGUCUAGAGAACAAGCGUUAGCAUGGCUAUGGAUCAAAGGGGGGACCCUUGUACACUAGUGGUUCAGAAUUUCAGCUUUACAAGUAGAGAGUUUCUGGAGGUGGGCAGAGGUGGUUACUGCACAAUAAUGUAUUUAAUAUUAUUGAAAACAUAGAAAUUAUAAAGAUGGUUAAAUUUUAUAACACAUGCUUUUCCCAUAGUUUAAAAAAUUAAAAAUUAAAAAUUCAUGUUGAAUAAAGGACUUGGAAAACAGACUUGACCUCAAAGCUCUAAAGUUGAUUCUGAGCGUUUGGUUUUUGCAUCAGCACGUUAUUCAUAUUCAUAACAGCUUGGUACUUGGCAACAGUACUACCUGAUCAUUGCUAUUAUUUUGAUUAUGCUGAAAGAUCCACAUGUCUUCUGUAAUUUGUGGUUGAUUUUUUUGGUUUCAGCAACAUUGGGGUCAUCUCUUUCCUUCCCAAAGAAGUUAGUCUCUUGAGAGCCUCUUCCUGUUACCUCCAUGUGCAGCCAGCUUGAUGGGAGCCUUGAGAAGCCAGGAGUCAUGGAAAUCAGGGGCUGCCUGCAGCCCAGAUAUUUAUAAUGAGGGGAGUUUAUGUAUAUAAAAUUAUGUCAUCUGCAAACAGGGAUAUUUAGACCUCCUUCCUUCCUGUUUGGAUGCCUUGUAUUUUCUUGUCACCUCUUAUUUCUAUGGCCAGUACUUUCAAAAGCAUAUUGAAUAUACAUGUUCUUUUGUUCCUAAUCUUACAGAAAAUGAUUUCAGCUCCUCUCUAGUUAGUGUGAUGUUGCUUUGGUCAUGGUCUCUGAACAUCCUUUCUUCAUGGUCCACUUUAUUUUCAAGAUCAUUUAUUUUGUCUUUGAGGCCUCAAACCUGUCUUCAAAGUGUUUUAGUCUGCUGGUGGUGUUUUCCAUUGAAUUUUUAAUGUGGCUUAUUGAGUCUUUCACUUCCAGGAUUUCCAUUCAGCUUUUUUUUUUUUCUUCAGAAUCUCUAUCUCUUUAUUCGAGGGAUACUUUACUUCCCAUAUUUUCUCUUUACUUUCACUCCAUAUAUCUUCUUUUAGCUCAUACAGCAAUUUAACUAUGAACUCUGUAAAUUAUUCUGACAUUUCCUCCACUGCAGUGUUGAUGGGAUCAAUUGUUAAAGCAUUAUCAGUUGAUGGGAUUGGUUGUUAAAGCUUUUGGGAUGGUUCCCUUGCCUUUUCAUAUUGUUUGUAUGUCUACCCAUCUGUUGUGAUAGCUGUCAUUUUUUUUUUUUUUUUAAAGGGACUACUUUGUGAGCCCUCGGUUGGGUGAAUAUGCAGAUAUUGGUACUUUAAGUCAAUAUGAGACUUUUGUUGAUCCCAAUAUCAGCACCACUUUGAGAAAUGCCACCAAACCCUGUUUACUAUAAUCACUCAUUACCAAGCCUCCUGCUGUUCAACCUUAUGAGAAACACAAUGUUGACAUUGUUGUGCACAGUUCCUCAAAUCCAGGUCUAAGCUGUAGUGAAGUUCUGGAAUAGGUUAAAAUUAGUUUUUCAAUUGACUAAAAUGCUAUAAUUUUAAAUGAGGGCUAAAAUUGGGGAAGAGGAAAGAUUGGGGAAAGAGAUGAAAGGGAGGAAGGAAGGAAAAGGAAGGAAGAAGGAAGGAAAAGGAAGGAUGAAGGAUGAAUGAAUGUGUUUGAGGUAGUAGCAGAUAACCAAAGAAGAUAAAUAUAAAGGGUAAGAGGAGCAGCUGUAAACUGAGCCUCUCAAAUAAGGAUAUGCAGAUUGAUUCCAGUUAAACCAGUAGAUAAAACAGUCAAAUGUGUUGAAUCUUGGCUAUUAGCAUAACCAUUAUUAUUCAAUUGAAAAAGUUCAAUGUAGACAUUAGAGUUAUUUAUAGUAAAUCAUGCCAAGGUGAAGAAAAUUCUUUUUGGAUCUUGGUUUGGGUUUCAUUGGAGUUCAGACCCAAAUGAAAGAUGUGCAUCCUUCUUUGGCUGUGGGUCCCUCCAUCAUUGCUGGGGCACAGGAGCCACUUCCCUGUUUGCUGUGAACCUCCCACUGGCCAGUUCUGGUUCAUCAGCUCGGGGGUCUGAAGUUGAUGCUUGGAGAGUUCAGUGUUGUGUUCUAGUUGUUUCUAUUGUGAGCAGGAAUUCAGGAGGCAGACUGGAGUGUCCCACUGAUUGCCAUGGGUCACUGUCUACUGCUCCCCAACACAGGAUCCUUUUCAUGAAUGUGAAUUUUCUGCAGGUACCCCCUGGCCAGUGCUGCCCUCUGGGUUACUGAGGUAAAGGGACUCAGGUGGUUCACUUGGGUUCUAGUUUCCACUACUCCAGGUUAUGAAUGGAGGGUAUUGAUUCCCUCUGUUGACUCUGACUGAUACAAAGUCCAGCCAGAGUCUAAACAAUGCCUUUUCCUUCACCACUUGUGAACACUGGUCAGGCUGGGAGCACACAUUCCCUAUUGCCAUGGAUCAUGCAAUUUUCCACCUUAACUAACCUCCCUCGGGCUAUGUUUGCAGGUGCCUACUGCUUAAGUUUCCUGGGAUAUUCAGGGAACUUGUUCUAGCAGCCUUCUACCAUAGCUGCCACCACCUGGCAAUCAGAUGUGUCACUGGAUAUUGAGACAGCUUCCCUCUGGUAUGGACUAUAAAGAUGAUGGUCCCUGAACUUCUCACAGUGCUACCCCUCUAUGUCAGUGGUUGGUGCUGCUGUGGUCCUCAUGGAUCCAUUUUCCUCUGCUCAGAGCCAAAGCUGUCUGGGUCAGUGGAUGCUGCUCAGUGUUUUUAUGUUUGUUUGUUUGUUUGUUUGUUCCUCUUGUUGCUGUUUUUGUUUUUCUUUCCCUGCCUCUGCCUGGGUUGCAGAGUGGUGGUCUAGGCGCACUUCCCAGUGCAGUCCACUCAGUCCCUUCCCCCGCUUUUGGGGGAAGGGGAGGGGGAGGGAGUUUCAGUGAUUUGGGGGCGACUAGUGGUUCCUCUAGAACUUCUUUAUGGCUCUAUUCCUAUGAGGUCCCACUCCAGGGGACUUCCCUCUGGUUACAUUUGCAGCUGUCUGGACAUAGGAAGAUAUCCUGUCAUGAGAUGGCUGUGAACCCCUGGCUCAGCUUUCCUUUCACAAUUUGGUUUUAACCUUUGAUAUGUUAUAAGGGUCCUGCUGUUCCCAUCACACUUAAAUUUUUAUCUGCCUUUCCAAAUGUUUUUAGUGGGUGAGUUUAAGUAAAUUUCUACUCUUUCUUUCUUUCUUUCUUUCUUUCUAUUGCCCCUCACCCCUUCCUCUAUCCUGGCCUGGGUUCCAGAUCAGGGAAACGUGUGCUGAUUUUCUUCUGUGGUAUCCAGUAUUUCCAGACCUAAGACUUGGUAACACUGAGUCUUUGAACCGUUGUCACUCAUCUCUCAAUUCUGAUUUUCCUUCACUGCCUCCUUUCUGUGUGGUGAGGAGAUCAGGAAUUGCUGUCUUGCUCCCUUCUACCAUCUUCCCAGUCUCUCAUUGAUUUUCUUUUAAUUGAUGCAUUAUAGUUACAUAUAAAAUUGGACUGCAUUGUGAUAUAUUCACACAUGCACAUAGUAUAAUUUGAUCAACUUUAUUCCCCAAAUUCUUCCCCUUUGCCUCUUGUCCUCCCUCACCCUUUAUUUCCUAUUUCUACUCCUGUCCCUUCUAUUUUUCGGAAGUUCCCCCAACUUUAUUCCCUUUUGUCUCCCUAACUUACAUUUAUGAGAGAAGGCAUUUGAUCCUUGCUUUCUGAAUCUGACUUAUAUAACUUGGCAUGAUGUUCCAUUGAUAUACCAGCAAAUGAAAUAAUUUCAUUUUUCUUUAUGGCUGAGUAGAACUCCAUUGUGUGUGUGUAUAUAUCACAUGUUCUUAAUCCAUUCAUCCUAUUGGUCAGCGCCUAGGCUGGUUUCAUAACUUGGCUAUUGUGCUAUAGAAUACUGAUUUUGGAUUUUUACAUAAUUACCAAGAAGUGGGAGAGCUGGACCAUAUGUGGUUCCAUUUAGAGUCAUCUCUACACUGCUUUCCAAAUUGGUAGUACUAGUUUGCAGUGCCAUCAACAAAGUAUUAACAUACUUUUUCUCCCACAUCCUCAACAAUUAUCCUUAUUUAUAUUCUUGAUAAUUGCCAUUCUGGCUGUGGUAGUAUGAAAUCUCAGUGUCGGAGGCCACCCUGCGCAGGAGCAAAGGACACCCCGUUAGCCUUGAAUAAUGAAGUAUUGAACUGGCAUCGCAAGCCACACACUGUGCGAAGCAAAGUGGGCCUUACCUUCGCUCUGCAGGGAAGUGCUUCAGCUCUGGGCUUGAGGAUUACCCAAAGGGAUUGGGCAACCCCGCUUCUGAAAUUCUAUCCCCUACCUUAUUUGGUUGGAAUAUUCCAUCGAAUGUCUUUUCCUAAUAAAUAGAGGGGUUCCUGGUGCUCUCUUGCCUUUGAGCGUGGAAGAGGACCCUAGAGGCCCUGAGAAACUCAUGUCGUGUGUUGCAUGAACUGUUUGCCAUUUUCUUAUCUUGAUGUUGCAGCCAGCUCUUUUGAAUGUGGAUUUUCCUCUGUGCCUUUAAUCCAUUUCUAGUUCAAUUUUAUGUGCUGUGUAAGAUCCAGCUUUUCACUUUUAUGUACUGUGCAAGUCCAGCUUCAUUCCUUUGCAUGUAAAUAUCCUCUUUCCCAGCACCAUACGUGGAUGAGACUCUACCUUCCCUAUUGUCAGUUCUUGGUGCCUUUUGGUGAUUGACUAUGUGUGCAUGGGUUUGUAUCUGAGUUUUCUCUUGUGUUCCAUAUUCAUGUGGUAUUCUCUACUCUCUUCUUUGUGUCAGUUUUCAUGUCAGUAUCUGAGUGGAUUAUGAGAAUCUUACAAUAUAUUUGAAAAUAAUUACUAUAAAACCUCUUCUUUGUUCUUCUUUUCUCAGGANUUAGCUUGAUGUUGCAGCCAGCUCUUUUGAAUGUGGAUUUUCCUCUGUGCCUUUAAUCCAUUUCUAGUUCAAUUUUAUGUGCUGUGUAAGAUCCAGCUUUUCACUUUUAUGUACUGUGCAGGUCCAGCUUCAUUCCUUUGCAUGUAAAUAUCCUCUUUCCCAGCACCAUACGUGGAUGAGACUCUACCUUCCCUAUUGUCAGUUCUUGGUGCCUUUUGGUGAUUGACUAUGUGUGCAUGGGUUUGUAUCUGAGUUUUCUCUUGUGUUCCAUAUUCAUGUGGUAUUCUCUACUCUCUUCUUUGUGUCAGUUUUCAUGUCAGUAUCUGAGUGGAUUAUGAGAAUCUUACAAUAUAUUUGAAAAUAAUUACUAUAAAACCUCUUCUUUGUUCUUCUUUUCUCAGGAGGAGAUGGCUAUUUAUUACCUUUUGUGGUGUCAUAUGAAUUAAAGGAUUUUCUUUCAAUAUCUAGUAAAAUUGCCAUUGAUAGAUUGACAGGAAUGUCACUGAAUCUCUUGCUUUGGGUAGCCUGGACAUCUUAACUAUCUUUAUUUUUCUAAUCCAUAAGCACACUAUAUCUUUAUAUCCAUGUAUGUCUUCAGUUUUUCUCAUCAAUGUUUUAUAAUUUGUAUGAUACAUGUAAAUUUGCUUUCUUUGAAUUCAUUUGGCUCAAUUUGCUCCGAAGUGUUUUGUUCUUUUUGGUGCAAUUGUAAAAAGAAUAUUACUAUUUGGGUUUUUUUUUUUUGAUAGAUGAUUAUUAAGGAUAUAGAAAUGCAUCUGCUUUUCUCAGGUGGAUUUUGUCUCCAGAACCUUGACUGAACUUGUUAAUUAGUUCUAACAGUUUUCAUUGGUAAAGAGUGUAGCAUUCUCUAUGAAGAGGACUUGUCCUCUGCCAACAGAGGCGGCCCUUCCUUGUUCCUUCCUGGUUUGGAUUCCUGUGGUUUCUUUUUCCUCUCAGAUUCCUCUGUCUGGGGUCUUCAGCACUACAUGGAACAGACAUUGCUGCAGUGUGGGCAGCCUCACCUUGGUCAUGAUCUUAAGGAAAAGCCACUACAUACAUACAUACAUACAUACAUUUUUCGGCCACUACAUACAACAUUUGAUGUGGUAGAUCCUGUGUGACCUUUAUUGUCUUGUGGUGCAUUCCUUUUUACCUAAUUUUUGUAGGCCAUCCGUCAUGAAAGAGUGUUGAUUUUUUUCAGAAUCAUCGUUCUACACCUAAUGAGAUAAUAUGAUUUUAUCUUUCAUUCUGUCAGUACAGUUGACCACAUUGAAUUAUUUUUGUGCUUUGAAACAUUUUUGCAACUGGGAUAAAUCUCAUUUGGUCCUAGUGCAUGAUUUAAUCAUGUUCUGUUGAAUUUAUUCUACCAGUAUUAAGGAUUUUUCUGUCUAUGGAAAUGAGGUAUAUUGCCCUGUACCUAUAGGUUUUGCUAAUAUUACAGUAACUGUACAAUCUGGCCUAUUCAAAGCUCAUCCAAGUUGUAUUAAGAAUCCUCCUUCUCAGACAGGAAAGAGAAAGCUAAGCACAUCCCCACCAUAAUUCCUUUCUAUGAACCUGAACUCGCCCUUCUGUGCUGUUCCAGGGAUGGACCCCACACAUUGAGCAAUCGCUGUGGGAGGCCAGGCCAUAAUACUCAAUCUGUCACCUGGUACCAUUAGUCCUGCACCAAAUCCUGUGGGGAAAAGCCACAGAAGUUCUCAUUUGCAUUUACUGCAGAUUUACAUCACUGAUGUGUCCUUUAUCAAAUGAGAUCCUCUGUAGAGACACCCUGAACACACCAAUGUAUUCAUAUAACAGCUUCCUUGACUUCUGUCUUUGUGGACACAGAUAGACCCACCUCAGCAGCCACAGCAUUUCCUGGAGGGUGGGGAGCAGAUGCGGCCAUCCACCCCCUCUACAUGGAAGUUACUGAAGGCUCCAGUUCUGGCCAUUUCCAACAGUGCUGGCAGGAUAAGUACCUAGCUUUCGACAUGCUGGAUGAAGGAAGGGACACAUGCUAAGGACUUGGAAGGGUGCUCCCAAAUGAUUCUGAGGAGUAUCCAUGGUCACAUCUCCCAGGGGAUCUGCCCAGGCCUCUGUCUCCUGUAUUCUCACCAGGGCUGUUCAGCACCAGCCUUAAAACCUGCCCAUUCAGUGGGGACAAACAACCUCUCAGUAGUAAGUGUGUUGACCAUGGUGUGUCAACAUUCAAAGGUUCACAGUUACUAUGCGCAGUGAUUCGUUUUUGAAUUGCAGGAAUUUGUUCUUUGUCCCCCUAGAAAAAUGAUUUUCUCAUGAAGUUUGAUGUGUCCCUGGGAUGUUAAUCUUAUAUCAGUCUAGGUUUUUUGGGGGGAGGGUCCAAUUUUAUUUUAAGUUUUAUUUAUAUUUCACAGCAGAAUGCAUUAAAUUCUUAUUACAUAUAUAGUGCACAAUUUUUCAUGUCUCUGGUUGUUUCAGAAACACUUUGCUAGUUGUAACUUGUCUUUCUAAGUAUGUAUGUUCUUUUUGUUUUUCGAUCAGGAGUCAGUCAUUUCCUUUAUGACUUCUGACCCUUGAGUCAGAAAAAAAAAUGCUUUCAACAUAAAUGUUAUCAAAGUAUUUUCUAAGAAGCUUUCAUUUUACAUAUACACUUAGACCUGCUAGAUGAGUAGCACAUAACAAUAUCCCAGUGAUUUAGGAGGCUGAGGAAGGAGGAUUUAAAGUUGGAGGUCAGUUUCCCCAACCUAGGGAGCUCCUCAGGAACUUAGUGAGACUCCAUCUCAUAAAGAAAAAAAAAAAACUGGAGAUGAGGCACUCACUAAAUGCCCCUGGGUUCAAUUUCUAAUACUAAUUAAAAAAAAAAAAAAACUAAAAAUCUUGGAUCUCUAUGGCAUUUACUAUUCAAAGAAAAUUAAUUAACAGUCCCUGCCAAUAUUGUGUGGACAAACACAAAAGUCCGACUACAAUGACAUGAAAAAGCCAGAAGAGAAAGAUCAGAGGGAGGGUGUUCCCUGGAGACAAGCAGGAGGGAGAGCAGGUGUGGGUGGGUGUGGGUACCAGACACAGGACAGUGUAAUGCACUUAAAGACAAUUAGCUGAACUUUUUAAAAAAAAUAUUACAUUUUAAAAUAAAUUAGUUUCAAUAAAAAUAGAAAAAGAAAAAAAGAAAAGGAGAGGUAAAGGGCAGUUCUGGGAUGGGAGCUGGUGCAACGGGGGUGCUCAGUCGGUGGUCCAGGCUGUGUUCCCACUGGGAGCCACAGAUCUGUUUCUGAACCUGGAGCUCUCUCUCAAGUGGUGGGUUGGUAAUUCAAGAUGAGCUGGACUUUCGUAUCUUUUAUCUUAUGUUUACGAUCUACUGCAAGUAUGUAUGUUUCUAAGUGCUUUAUUAUUCUACUUGGCUUGUUGAUAUUACUAUAAAUGAUGUCUCCACAUACUCUCUUGUUCAGCACUGGUGUGGAGAAUCACAAACUCUAAUGACAGGGAGCUGGACAUUUUUGGUUUUGCCUGCUGGAUAUGUUCCCUGUUACAAAGCAGAUUUAUCUUUUCUCCAGGCAUUGGACAUUAGUAGUAGUAGUAGUAGUAGUAGUAGUAGUAGUAGUAGUAUUUUUUUAUUUCCAAGUAACACUGCUUUGAGGCAAAGCGUUUAAGUGUUUAGGGCAGCCACAGUAAACCAGCAAGAGGCUGACACAAAAUGAAAAAGGAAAAGACCAUGGAUGUAGCUCAGCGGUAAUGUGCCCCUGGGCUCAAGCCCAGUAACAAAAAGUCAAAAUAAAAAACAUAAAAAACAUAGAUCUCUAUGGCGUUUGUCCUUCUAAGGAAACAUAAUUAGUCCCUUCCAACUUUACACAGCCCAGAAGAAAUCAGACUGCACUGGUUUAAAAAAUGCAGACUCAGCAUAUCACAGGACUAGAAGCUAAGUGGUCGCUGGGGACUAGCAGGAGGUUGGGGAGGCAGUGAUCAUAGAUACCAAAUUCCGGAAGACGUUCUGGAACUGCAUAGUGGUGACUAGUGCACAGUUUAGAGAAGGCACUUGAUGCCAAAUGACUGCGUCUUUUAACAAUGAAAAUAAAUCUUUAAUUCUAAAUAAUAAAAUAAUAAACACAGAUAAUAAAAACGAAUAAACAAAUGAGCUGGGAGAAGAACAGAGGCUCUGGGUUCCUGUCUGGAUGCAGUGCUGACUGAAGGGCCAGCAGGGUGUGUUGGCCUUGAUCGUCCACUGCAGGUUCGUCCAGCUCCAGUUCUCUAUCAGAUGGUACAGAUGAUGGACAUUGAACUGGAGCUUCCACAAGCACUAAAGCUGCUAGAGGAGUAAAGGUCCACAGACUAUCCACGUUAGGUCCAGGGACAGAAUAUUCCCUACUGCCUUUCAUACAAUUCCACACACAAACCCAACACCAGGCAGUGUUCCCAGAAUGCACACAGACAAUGACAGCUCUGCCUCUCAUUGUUCCUGCCCCGCCCCAGUUCCUGUGCAGUAUGCUCUGCUUGUCCCUCCCUGUCCCAUUCUGACAUACUCAUAACCCCACCUCAGUCCUCCUCACCUUCAGCCUGUUCCUCCAUGGGCUCAGGGUUUUCUGUCAAGGCUGGGACCUGGUGUCCGUGGUCCUCCUCCUCGGGGCUUGUGACAGUGACCUGGCUGUGCACAUUACCAAGUGGGUAGUGAGGCAAAUGCAAGUGAGGGAGUGAGGAGACCACCCAAGAGGGAUGGGGGGGGCAACAGUAUGAGAGGCCUGGCCUUUCCUACCAUGAGGUCAGUGAUCUUGGCACCCCACAGGUCAGAGGAGAGGGCUGAAGCUCAGAGAGUCACAGGGCCAGUAUCAGGACUCACAGCUGUAUGUGACCCUGUCACCCUGGGCAGGGCUUACCUUCCCAACAUUUGGCCCAUCUCUUGUUGGGUGGAGGAACUCGAGAUAUUUGAUGCCAAAGAGGAUGAUUGAAAGAACAUGGGCUCCAGGGUCUCCUCCAGGUUCCCCAGGGAGUACGCCUGGAACACAUAUCCAAUGCUGGUAUCAUCCCCUCUGUAGCCACCUUCUUGGUUGGGACAUUGAAGAAACAGAGUCAGUGCCAAACUGACCCACCAGAAGUGUCUGGGGGUGGAGUCCAGUGCAAUAGCAAAAGCAAAUAGGGGCUUGUCCCACAGAGGGACAGGAGAGCCCCAGCAGGGCAAUGGCAGAGUUCACAGUAGAAUUGCUGAGGGGAUAGUUAGAAACACAGCAGCUUCAGGCCAGUGUGUUAGCUGAGCAGAGGUGGCAGCUCUGUGCAUUUAGGAGCUUAUCCCCUGAGUCCCACCAGCACACCACCUUCUGGAGAUGGGAAAACGGGCUCAUCCCAGACAGGAGGGUCCCUGUGUGAGGACACCCAGAACAUCAUUCUCUGUGGUGCUGUUGAAAUGGCUCCAGAACGGAAUGAGGUCCAGGUCCCACAGCCCUGAAAGGCUGAAUGACUGUGGAACCUGGGUCCCCCUGGAAGGUGGUGAGGUCCUGGGGGCUCAGCUCCUACUUUCCCAGUCUGUGUUCCUUGAGAUAACAAGUACCAGAGAAAUGGACCAAUUGGCAUGAGCCUUGUAGUGUUUCAGCUAAACUCAUCCCUAGUAAUCCUGAUGAUGUGUAAGACUUGGAGAGAGUGUGGAAGGACCGUCAGGCCAUUGUCACCUGGACACCUGGGUGUUGGAGUUAUAGUCAGUUGGGUGGCAGAGUACAAAUCAUCAGAGAAUUAAAAUGAAAUAAUGUCCAUGUUGCUGUUCUGUUGUUGUCAAAAUUAUGGGAACAGUGACCUUGGAUGAGUCCAAGAACGAGGCAGGCAGAGAGGGUGAGGAGGAUGGGUGAGGAUUUGUUGUUCAGAUUCCUCAUGGUGGGGACUCUGCCCCUCCAUCUCCCAUCCCUACCAGGAAGGUGGUCCUGGUGGUGUCUGUGCUCUUAUUCUUUAGAAAUUUCCAUCCAAUGAAGGUCAAGAGGGUCAGGACAGGUGAGGUAACUCGAUCCCUGGGGAUGUAGGAAGGCAUGCCCUGGGGGAUGGAAGUCCAAAUUUUAAUGCUCCAGUAGGUUGAAUUGCAGGAUUUAUUGCCCUUAAAUCUUGUAUUAACCUCCAAUUACCUGAAUUUUUCUUAAUUACAAAAAUGGAUGUGUUCCAAGGGCUAAGUGUAGGCUCUGAAUGACCAGCUUUAAGCUAUUCUUUGACUCAAAUAUGAGCUAUUUUAAGUUUUUCCCCUGUUACAGGCCACUGACUAACCCAAAUUGGCUCUUCUGUGAGCCAAGUGAUCUUUUUUGCUACCUUUAUUUUUAGAGAGAGAGAAGAGAGAGAGAGAGAUUGAGAGAGAGAGAGAGAGAAUUUUUUAAUAUUUAUUUUUUAGUGAUUGGUGGACACAACAUCUUUGUAUGUGGUGCUGAGGAUUGAACCCGGGCCGCACGCAUGCCAGGUGAGCGCGCUACCGCUUGAGCCACAUCCCCAGCCCUUCUGCUACAUUUUGUACCGGGAAAAAGUAAGGGCCCCUACCAAAAAUUUUGGUUGGGUGCAUUAAUUAAUCUCUGUCGAGGAGACUGGUUCAUAAGUAGAGAUUCAUCCUGUAAAUUUCUUUCACUAUCCCUAGGAAUAAACCAUUGAUUAAAUUUCUCAGAUGACUUGAUAGAAUUUGGAGUUACUAAUAAUAAUCCUAAACUGCUUAGGAUAUCUCUUCCCCAUAAGUUUACUGGUAAAGAAUCUAAAUCAUAUGUCUUAAAAAUUUCAGUAUUUCCAUCUCAGUCCUCCCAGUGAAGAUAUUGGGCACUCUGGGCAGGCUGACAAAUCUGUCCUAUUUCUUCUAAAUUGGCUGGCGCAGUAUGGAAAGGCCAGGUUUGGGGCCAAAAUCAGUGAGACAAAACUGAUUUAUCUACUGCCUUUCAUAAAAUUCCACGCACAAACCCAACACCGGGCAGUGUUCCCAGUAUCUAUAACUCCUUGAAAUUUUUUAUGAUUAAUUUUUAAGUUCCAAUAGGGGGUGCUCCUGCCAAACUAAUUGGGCCCAGUAUGCUCCGCCUGGCGAUUUGGAAAUUGAGAUUUUAUCCGGACUGUCCACGGAGCUGCAGGGUAAAAGAAUUAAUUGGGCUAGCGCGUUUUUAGUAGAAAGCUGAAUGGCAUAUUCUGAUUUUACAGUAACUGUUAUUUCACCUCUAAAACAAGUAUCAAUAAUUCCCAGUAAUACUUGGAUUGACUCUUUAAAUUUCAUUCCAAAAUUAAUCCUAUAGUGCCUGGGGGUAAUGGCCCAUGAAUUCUGGUAGGAAUCCGCUGGGGUCCCAUUUCAGGUGUUAACAUGGCUAGUUGAAAGAGUACUGUGUGGGUGGUGCCUGCUAGUAAAAAUGGCGGUCCGCCAUGGCCAGCUAUCAUGACAUCAGAGCUUGUGACUCCUCCAAAUCCCCUUCUGUUUGGCAGGCCUGGGGAAAGGCAGGGUUAACUAGGACAUGUGAGGUAACUCAAUCACUGGGGAUUUAGGAAGGCAUGCCCAUGCAAGAAGACACAUUUGCGUUUUUCUGCCCUCAAGAUGGGGGCUAUUGUGUUCAGCUACUUAAAAGUAGCCACAUCACCGGGGUGACCAUCAGUGCCAUAGCUAAUCAGGAGGGGAAGCAAACGCUGGUCACAUGCUAUGGCAGCCUCCAACAAUGGAGCAAGAGCCUGUCUCAAAAUGAAAAAGGAACAAGACCAUGGAUGUAGCUCAGUGGUAAAAUGCCCCUGGGUUCCAGCCCAGUAACAAAGAAAUAAGAAUAAAAAAUAAAAAAACGUAGAUCAGUGUGGCAUUUUCCCUUCUAAGAAAACAUAAUUAGUCCCUUCCAACGUUACACAGCCCAGAAGAAAUCAUACUGCACUGGUUUGAAAAAUGCAGACUCAGCAUAUCACAGGACUAGAAAGCUAAGGGGUCACUGGGGACUAGCAGGAGGGAGGGGAGGCAGUGGUCAUGGAUACUGAAUUCCAGAAGACAUUCUGGAACUACAUUGUGCUGACUAAUGUACAGUAUAGAGAAGGCACUUGAUGGCAAAUGACUGAGACUUUUAACAAUGAAAACAAAUCUUUACUUUUAAAUAAAAUAAUAAACACAUACAAUAAAAAUGAAUAAACAAAUGGCCUGGGACAAGACCAGAGGCUCUGGGUUCCUCUCUAGAUGCAGUGCUGACUGAAGGGCCAGCAGGAUACGUUGGCCUUGAUGGUCCAAGGCAAGUGCGUCCAGCUCCAGUUCUCUAUCAGAUGGUGGAGAUGUUGGACCUCGAACGGGAGCUUCCACAAGCACCAGAGCUGCUAGAGGAGUAAAGGUCCACAGACUAUCCAUGUUAGGUCCAGGGACAGAAUAUUCCCUACUGCCUUUCAUACAAUUCCACGCACAAACCCAGCACCAGGCAGGGUUCCCAGAAUGUAUGAAGACAAUGACAGCUCUGCCUCUCAUUGUUCCUGCCCCGCCCCAGUUCCUGUGCAGUAUGCUCUGCUUGUCCCUCCCUGUCCCAUUGUGACAUACUCAUACCCCACCUCAGUCCUCCUCACCUUCAGCCUNACAGACUAUCCACGUUAGGUCCAGGGACAGAAUAUUCCCUACUGCCUUUCAUACAAUUCCACGCACAAACCCAGCACCAGGCAGGGUUCCCAGAAUGUAUGAAGACAAUGACAGCUCUGCCUCUCAUUGUUCCUGCCCCGCCCCAGUUCCUGUGCAGUAAGCUCUGCUUGUCCCUCCCUGUCCCAUUCUGACAUACUCAUACCCCACCUCAGUUCUCCUCACCUUUGGCCUGUUCCUCCAUGGGCUCAGGGUUUUCUGUCAAGGCUGGGACCUGGUGUCCUUGGUCCUCCUCCUCGGGGCCUGUGACAGUGACCUGGCUGUGGACAUUACCAAGUGGGUAGUGAGGCAAAUGCAAGUGAGGGAGUGAGGAGACCACCCAAGAGGGAUGGGGGGGGCAGCACUAUGAGAGGCCUGGCCUUUCCUACCAUGAGGUCAGUGAUCUUGGCACCCCACAGUUCAGAGGAGAGGGCUGAAGCUCAGAGAGUCACAGGGCCAGUAUCAGGACUCACAGCUGUAUGUGACCCUGUCACCCUGGGCAGGGCUUACCUUCCCAACAUUUGGCCCAUCUCUUGUUGGGUGGAGGAACUCGAGAUGUUUGAGGCCGAAGAGAAACAGUCAUAGAAGAAGGCAGGCUCCAGGGUCUCCUCCAGGUCCCCCAGGGAGUACGCCUGGAACACAUAUCCAAUGCUGGUGUCAUCCCCUCUGUAGCCACCUUCUUGGUUGGGACAUUGAAGAAACAGAGUCAGUGCCAAACUGACCCACCAGAAGUGUCUGGGGGUGGAGUCCAGUGCAAUAGCAAAAGCACAUAGGGGCUUGUCCCACAGAGGGACAGGAGAGCUCCAGCAGGGCAAUGGCUGGCAGAGUUCACAGUGGAAUUGCUGAGGGGAUAGUUAGAAACACAGCAGCUUCACCCCAGUGUGUUAUCUGAGCAGAGGUGGCAGCUCUGUGCAUUCGGAGCUUAUCCCCUGAGUCCCACCAGCACACCACCUUCUGGAGAUGGGAAAACGGGCUCAUCCCAGACGGGAGGGUCCCUGUGUAAGGACACCCAGGACAUCAUUCUCUGUGGUGCUGUUGACAUGGCUCCAGGACAGAAUGAGGUCCAGGUCCCACAGCCCUGAAAGGCUGAAUGGCUGUGGAACCUGGGUCCCCCUGGAAGGUGGUGAGGUCCUGGGGGCUCAGCUUCUACUUUCCCAGUCUGUGUUCCUUGAGACAGCAAGUACCAGAGAAAUGGACCAAUUGGCAGGAGCCUUGUGAUGUUUCAGCUAAACGCAGCCCUAGUAAUCCUGAUGCUGUGUAAGACUUGGAGAGAGUGUGGAAGGACCGUCAGGCCAUUGUCACCUGGACACCUGGGUGUAGGAGUUAUAGUCAGUUGGGUGGCAGAGUACAAAUCAUCAGAGAAUUAAAAUGAAAUAAUGUCCCUGUUGCUGUUCUGUUGUUGUCACAAAUAUGGGAAUUGUGACCUUGGAUGAGUCCAAGAACGAGGCAGGCAGAGAGGGUGAGGAGGAUGGGUGAGGAUUUGUUGUUCAGAUUCCUCACGGUGGGGACUCUGCCCCUCCACCUCCCAUCCCUAUCAGGAAGGUGGUCCUGGUGGUGUCUGUGCUCUUAUUCACUUUUAUUCUGCUCUGUGCCCUGCCAGUAGAGUCCCCCCUGUCCCGCACUUAUCCUGAGGCCCAGCUCCUGCCCAUUGGUGCUUGGCUCUGGAUAUUCCUCAGUGGACGUGGGGUUGGAGCUGAAGCUGCAGCUCCAGUGCUUAUUGAGGAUAAACUGUGGAAAGAAUGGAAGACAGUGCCUGGUAGCUGGCCGGGAGCCCCAGCCCCUGCUCGCCUCCAUUCAGGGUGUUUGUGUCUCUUGUGGCCUUCUGCUCCCCCGACCUAAUACAGACCCUGUGUCUCAGGUUUUACCCUGUAAGACAGGAAAUGAUACUGGGUGCCCAGGCCGUACCGUGGACACUUUCAUUCCCCACCUUUUUCCCUGUCCUGGGGGUGACCAUGAUAGGACACGAGGCUCACAAUCUCCCACCACCUUUUCCUGCCUCAGGUCCCUGUUCUCCCCUACUGAGGAGCAAGGUGGUGGGACUCUGCAGGGCUACUCACAGUGAUGUUCUCUCCUGGAUGUACCUCACCAGGGCUAUCAGGUGUGGACCUAAAGCUACUCCUCCCACUUUCAGGUGUGCCAAUUGGAGGAGGACCAUCAGCGAGGCACAGGCAGCAGCACAUGAAGCAACUUCGCAGUUGUUUCCAAAAGUUUCUUCUUUUGGGUGUCCAGUGGAUUGGGUCUGGGGAAGGGGCCGUGCAGCCAUAGGGGGAGCUCUGGCGACGUGGCCUCCUAAAGGGUCGGCCUCCACAGGGGAAGCAGGACAACAUGUUUUGGCUUUCAAAGUAUUUCACCAAAUGAGCUGGGAGGAGGCUGUUGCUAGAAUGUGGGUGCCUGGUUACUGGGUUCCAAGUUCUGUUUGACUCUAUGACCAAGGAAGGGGGCCCAUGUCUUGGGGUUCCUGGCCUAACCCAUCCUCCAGAUAAGCCCAUGUUUGUCCCUCUGUUGGCUCUCCUCCAGCCCCAUGCCAUUGCCAUAUGUUUACACAGCCAACCCCAACACUAGCCCCACAUCCCUUGGCAGGCAUGGGUGUAGCCAGGGUCCCAGCUCUGAGGAGACACAUCUAGGUUUCAACCCUGCUCCUCCUCCUGUCCUCUCAUGUGACCUUGGACAAGUCAUCAUGUCUCUAAGGCUUGCCCAGUGUCCCCCUGCACAGUGUCUACUUCCUAGCACUGUCACCAGGCAUAUCUGACAUAACACUUAGAAACGAUGUUGUCAAAUGUCUGUAAUGCACAAAAGUAGAGAUAAAAUAUGGAAACAGGUGAAAUUUUAACGUAGAAUAGAGCUAAGGACAGGCCUAGUCUCCUGCCUGCUGACUUUGAAAAUGCCAUUUUCCUUCCUGGCCUUCUUUCUCUGUCUGCAUCUUGAGGGGGUUGAAAUGCAAUUAGUGGGGAUAUCCUCAUCUCCCAGAGCCACCCACCUUGUUCUCUUUGGGAUGAGAGUAAGCACAGUCACAUUUAGUAAAUGAAUGAGCAAGAAUACCUUCACCUCCAUCACCCUUUCUACUCAAGUCCCAUCAAAAUAAUAAUAAUAAUAAUAAUAAUAAUAAUAAUAACCCUUCAAAAGAUCACUGUGAAGAACUCCAUACCAGGUAGGUACAGAACAUAUUCAAAAAUCUAUAACUAUGUGUAUUUGUAACUCUGUAGCAAAAUUACCUGAAAUUUUGUGGCUUAAAACAGAGAAAUUUAUUUUCUCAUGGUUCUGGAGGUGAGAAAUCUCAACAUGCCACAGGGCCAUGUUCCCUCUAGUCUCUAAACAACAAUCCUUUCUGAUCUUUUUCAAUUUUUAAUGGCCCUAUGUUUUCCCAGGUUUAGGACAGUGUCACUCCAAACUCCACCUCCAAUCUUCACAUAGCCUCCUCCUUAUUCUGUGUCCUCUCCUCUUCUUGAAGGGACACUUGACAUUAGAUUUAGAGCCCAUUCAGAUAAUACAGCAUGAUCAUCAUGAUCUCAUCUUGAGAUCCUUAAUUACAUGUGCAAGGAUCUUUUUCCAAAUACAGUUAGAUUCACUCAUUCUGAGACAAACCCACAGAAUACAGUUACUCAUACUAGACAAAGGUGCCAAAAACAUACAUUGGAGAAAAGAUAGCCUCUUCAAAAAAUGGUGUUGGGAAAACUAGAAAUCCAUAUGAUGCAAGAUGUAAUUAAACUCCUCUCUCCCUGCACAAAACUCAACUCAAAGUGGGCCAAGGACUUAGGCUUUAUAACAGAGACCCUACACCUAAUAGAAGAAAAAAGGAGACUGAAAUCUAUGUCAGCUUAGGAACUGAGUUCCUUAUCAAGACUCCUAAAGCACAAGGAGUAAAAUCAAGAAUUAAUAAAUGGGAUGGAAUCAAACUAAAAACCUUCAUCACAGCAAAGCAAACAAUCAAGCACAUGAAGAGAGAGCCUACAAAAUCAGAAAAACUCUUUACUUGCACCUGCACCUCAAAUACAGCAUUAUUCUCCAGGAUACAUAAAGAACUCAACAAACUCAACAACAACAACAACAAAAAUAACCCAAUGAAGAAAUAAGCAUCCAGCAGCUAGAGAGGCUGGGAUGGGAAGAUCACAAGUUCAAAGCCCAGCCUCAGUAACCGCAAGGUGCUAAGCAACUCAGUGAGACCCUAUCUUUAAAGAAAAUAUAAAAUAGGUAUGGGGAUGUGGCUCAGUGGUUGAGUGCCCCUGAGUUCAAUUCCCAGUAUCAAAAAAAAAAAAAGGAAAUAAUCAAAGGAACUAAACAGAUACUUCACAAAAGAAGAAGUAUGAUCAGAUAAAAAAUAUGAGAAAAUGUUCAACAUCUCUAGCAAUUAGAGAAAUGCAAACUAAACUAAAACCAUACAAGUAACAGCAAAUGUUUGCAAGGAUGUGGGAAAACAAGUACACUCAUACAUUGCUGGAGGGACUACAAAUUGGUGCAACCACUCUGGAAAGCAGUAUGGAGAUUCCUUAGAAAAGUUGAAAUGGAACUACCAUUUGAUCCAGUUAUCCACUUCUUGGCUUAUACCCAAAGGACUUAAAAUCAGACUACUACAGUGACACAGUCACAUCAAUGUUUAUAGCAGAUCAGUUCACAAUAGCCAAACUAUGGAGCCAAUCUAGGUGCUAUUCAACAGAUAAAUGAAUAAAUAUGCGGUAUAUAUACACAAUGGAAUAUUAAUAAGCAAUAAAGAAGUAUGAAAUUAUGGCAUCUGCUGGUAAAUGGAUAGAACUGGAGAAUAUCAUGCUAAGUGAAGUAAGCCAGUCCCCAAAAUCUAAAGGUCAAGGCUUCUCUCUGUUAUGUAGAUGCUAACCCAUAAUCAGGUACAGUAGGCACAGGAAGUAUAGAAGUUCACUGGAUUAGGCAAAGGGAAAUGAAGGGAAGAGAGGGGAGAUGGGGAAAGGAAAGGCAGUAGAAUGAAGCACACAUUACUUUCCCAUGCUAAUAUACGAAUACACGACCAGUGUAACUCCACAUCAUGUUCAACCACAAGAAUGGGAUCAAAAUUAUAAUGGGUUGUACCCCAAGUAUGUAUGGUAUGUCAAAAUACAGUUGACUGUCCUGCAUCUCUAAAAACAAACAAACGCUGAAAGUGAGAUGUUGAGGAUUGAAGGUCAGUAGUCACCUGGUAAGACCAAUCCCAGCAGUUCACACUGUGCUUUAUUCUGUUCACCAAAUAGGUCUUAGACCUGGGAAGUCUUCUUGUCAUACCUCACAGGAUGGCUCCACCUUAAGCCAAAAUGUGUUUGAAUUUUGUUAUUUCAUAGGCCCAACUUAGUUUUCCAUAAAGCAAAAUCAACAUUCAUCUUAUGGUGUACUUCAGUUUGUUAUUGUAGUUCCCUCUUAUCAAAAAUUUCAAUUUCUGUGGUUUCACUAAAAUGUGGUCCAAAAACAGUAAAUUUAAAACUACAGAAAAAAAAACCACUGUGUAAGUUUUAAAUUUUUCACAAUUCUUAAUACAAUGAUCAGGUAUUAAGAUUAGGUAGCAUCAUUCUCUAUCAUGACUAUGCCGUGAAUCAUCCCUUUGUCCUAUGAUGCAGGACGUGUAGUCGACCCACACAUUAGUUCCUAAACAGCCAUCUGGUCAUGAGGUAAACUGUGGUGGUUUGCACUGCUUGUACAUGGAGUUCAAUUCUAUCUGUAAUUUCAGGUUUCUACAUAGGAUAUUGAAAGGGAUCCAAUUCACAUUGAAGUCUUUCUCUUGGAACCAAAGAAGAACUGGAACAUGACUUUGAGAAACAUUUCUUUUUCCUAGGCUUCUCUGAUCUCUCUCAGCUAUAGAGACAUUGGGUUUUUUUUCAUCUCUACUUUUCAACAUAAACCAGUUCCUCCACUGAGUACCCUGAAACUUCCUGCCUUUUGCCCCAUUGCAAACUCUGUGGAAAAGAGCAUUUACUCACAUAGCUCCCUCUUCCUAAUACGCUGCAUGCCACACUGGAAUCUCUCCUCUAGAACACUAUGAUCCCCCAACAUGGCUCCAGCAUCAGUUCUGACUUUCUCCCCAUACAUUGAUUAAUUUGAGUCUCUGCUCUCCUGUGCUCAUCAGAGGUAGUUGGACAGUUUGUGUGUUCCUCCUCUGGCUUCUGCUCUGGAUCCUACUGGGUUGUUUUAGUGUUUCGGGGUGACAAUUCUCUACUGAAAAAGAAAAGGGUGACAAGUAUCUUUUAUAAACAUAUUAUUAAUUUGCUCUCAUAAGAGUGACCUCCAAUACUUGUGGCAGCUCUAGCUCCAGCUCCAUCACCAUCCUGAGAACCAGAGGAGCCGUUGCCAGAAACUCCUUCACCACCAGCUCCAGAUCUCAGGUACUAGAGGCUCAACAGCCAGUGCCAGCUCCUGAGCUGCACCUUGGACCUGCUAUGCCCAGAGCAGCCCUUCACCUCCCUUACCAUUUCACUUGUUUUCCUAUUAGUUUUGGUUAUUUUUUAUUUGCUGAUGAUUAAUUUUAAAUAAAAUUUAGUAGUUUACUCAUUUGAAAUAUUUAGUUCAAUGCAAUUAAGUGCAUGUUCAAUGUUGUAUAACCAUCACCAUUGUCUAGUUCCAGAAUAUUUUCCUCAAUCCUGUCCCCGCUCAUUGUCCUGGUUGGCCCCAGCAGCCACUCAUCAUUCUAUCCAUGUGUUGCAGAUUUGUAAUCAACAGAUAGUUGCCGGACAUCUGCUCUCUGCAUCACUGUGGGGAUGGAGGCAGAUGCAGGGCACUGUGCCACGUCACUUCUCACCCCUCCACCAAAUCAGAGACUCCUGGACUCUACCUGAUGUUUCCUGCCAACCUUACCAACUUUCAGGUUGGCCUUAUAGUGUCCUUGCCUCCCAUUUCAAGAAACGGAAGAUACAUUGUCCCCAUCAUGCUUUAAAGAAGACUGAAAUUAUGGCAAUAAUAAGACAAUCCCUCAAAAUACAAAGGCCAAAUGUUUUUUCUAACAUGUGGAUGCUAAUUGACAAUAAAGUGGGGGGCACUAGAGAAGAACAUCAUUACCUUAGACUAGGUAGAGGGAAAUGAAGAAAGGAGAGUGGAGGGGAUAUAGGAAUAGGAAAGACAGUAGAAUGAAACAGACAUUAUUACUGUAUUAUAUAUGUGACUACAUGAUUAAUAUGAUUCUGCAAUAUAUACUCAGAAAAAUGAGAAAUUAUAUCCCAUCUAUGUAUGAUAUAUCAAAGUGCAUAAAUGUCAUGUAUAACUAAUUAAAACAAAUUAAAAAUUAAUUAAAAAAGAAAAGGUAAGCCUCGGUUAGAUGGAACGUUCACAUCAUGUGGAUGUCUUUCUCUGUAUGUGCUUAUAUUUCUAAUUUCAUAGUCAGGCAUGGCCUAACAAUGGGGACUCUUUAUGAGAAAUGUAUCAGUAGGUGAUAUCGUCCUCUGAGAUCACUAUAGAGUGUACUUGUACAGGGGAAGAAGGCUAUGAUGUCACCAGGCAGUAUACUCUCAGGGGACCCCCAUCUUAUAUGCAGCCCAUCGCUGACUGUGAGGUUGGUAUGUGUUGCAUGCUUGUACAUCCAUAGGUCUUUGCCUCUGGACUGAGCCUUCAGAUGCUGGCAGGUUGGAUUUCUCUUUUUUCCUCCCCACCCUUCCAUCUCACUGUGCUCCCUAACACCAUUCUGCACUCAUCACUACCUAGUGGAUCAUCCCAGUUCCCUCCAUUAAAAGGCCGCCUCCAGUAGAAUGAGACAGACAUUAUUACUCUACAUACAUGUAGGAUAUAGUCAACUACUGGUGUGACCCUGCAUGAUGUACAGCCAGAGGAAUAAGAAGUUGUGCUGCAUUCAUAUACAGUGUGUCAAAAUGCAUUCUACUGGCAUAUACAACUAAUUAGAACAACAACAACAAAAUCCACACCUGGAUCUUCUCUGGAACCCUCCAGCAGGCUAGGGCUCCUUCACAUACAUUCUUCCAGAUGACACACCAGUUGUGGGAGCUGGUGACUUAGGAGGAUGACUGCCAGAGGGUAAGAGGGAGUGGGGACAGGGACGCUGAACUUGGCUUCUCCCUGCUGCACAUCACUUCUGAUGUAGGUGGAUCCCUCCUGGACACCAUCCAAUCCCUGCCAACAGCAGGUGGGGUCCUGGCUACCAACUCUUUAAUGCCCAAUAGUGAGCAGCAAGAGGACACUAAGUUUUAGCAAAUAGUCAUCUCCAGUCAUACCUCUCAGUAUCCAAGUGGGAUAGGUCACAGAACCCCUUGAAUACCAAAAUCACCAUAUGCUCUACUCCCUUAAAAAAUUGUGUAGAAUUUGCAUGUAACCUCCACAGUCUUCCUUCCAGAUACUUUAAAUCAAACUGAGAUUCUUUAAGAUGUAAAUGCUUUGAAAUGGUUGUCAAGGUCUUUUUUAGGGAAAAAUGACAAGGAAAAAAGUCUUUAAGUAUUCAGUAAUGAAGUGAAUAUUUUUUCAAACAUUUCCAUCUGAGGGUGGUUGAGUCUGUGGAUGCAGAAGCUGAGCCUACAGAAGGCUGACUACUGAUUACAGAGUCUUCUCUAGAAAGGCACAAAAUGGGCAGAACUGGACCCAGAGGCACCUUCUGGGGAAAUGAAGAAUAGAACCUUCAUCUCUCUCUAACUGUUGCCAGUCAUAGUGACUUGUGUCCAAGAAGCUGAGGGUUUGCAACCCCAGAAGGUGAGAGGGAGCUAGAGGAAAUCUUCCCCCAACGAUGCUGUGGAGGUCCCCAAUCCUCACUGCAUCCCUCAAACUUCCCUGCGGUCAGGAACGAUGGAAAACAUGCCCUAGUUUUCAAGAAGCCACCACUGAGUUAAGACAAGGGCAGCCCACUAGGGCAGAAAGCAGGGCUGGAGGAUGGAGGGGCAGGGCCAGAGCCCUUCCCACCAGGUCAGCUGUUGGGUAGGACAGCAAAGUGCAGGUUACUGUCAGCUAUUCAUCAGCCCACUCAGACCAGCCGGAGUCCCUCUUUGCUUCCUGGCCCCCACCCAGCUGUACAUCCCCCUGGGGACCAGUCCAGGCUCUGGGAGGACCACAGCCACGCACACCAGGAGAAUGUGCCAGGACAUGCUUUGGUUGGCACUGCUGGUCUGUCUGUGCUUGGGAAGCCCCACCCUGGGUCACAACAAAUAACACAAAUGCAUCCUUAUCACACAAGAACUGCACUGAAAAAAUGGAAAGAAACUUGUAUUACUGUGAAAAAACCACAUAAAUGAAAUUAACAAGCAGAAAUGUGAUAUACAUGUCUUAGCUCAGACUUUGGCUCACAUUUGCUGGGUUCACUCCCUCCUCAACAUCAGCAUCUCAUGAAUAUUCCACUAUGUGUUGCAAUGUUUUUCUCACUGUUUGUAUAACAUAUAAAACUAAAUAAAACCAUGCACAACAAAUUGGGAGUUGUCAUUAUUUUAAAAUGGCAGGAUCUGGCAGGUGCUGUCUUCUAAUGGUGGUCUGUGGGUGCCAUUAUGGACAGUGACAAUGCUGUGGUUUGGGUAAGUGCUCCCAAAGGUCCAAGUGUUGUCACCAUUUCAGUCUUGUCACCAUACUGAGGUGCCAUCAUGACCUGGUGGUAGCACUAUGAAGGAGUACUAACUGAAAAAAUUGGGGCUUCUAGGAGCAUUCUACUGAAGGGGAUAUUGUGACCCCAGCCUCUUUCUUUUUUGCUUCCUGGAUUGGCAAUGUUAGAGGCUUCCUCUGCCACUUACUCCUGCCACCAUGUACUGCAAAAUCCAAAAGAUCAACCGACCAUGGGCUGAAACCUCUGAAAUGAUGAACCAAAAUCAACCUUUACUCUUGUUAAAUUGAUUUAUGUCAGUAUUUGUCAGAGUAAUGAAAAGCUGACUAACAAGGCCAAUAAUGCCAAGGGCUCAGCAGAUGACAGGGAAAAAAUUUAAAAAAUGGGUCUUAUCAUACUCACUCUUCUGCAUCUUUGGAUGUCCCUCCAGGGUGUGGAAUCCCUCCAAUGCAGCUGGACAGCUUUAAUCCAUUCCUUCUCCAUUGACUGACACGAAUGCUAAUAAUGUGUAACAUGAACACCACCUAAAUGUUCCCUGUUGAUAAAAGAACAAUUUGCUAGCAGUUUUGACACAAUGUUCCAUAAACACCCUGGAACUUCCUGAUGUUUUAAUUUCUAUGUAAGGUUUCCUAGGAAUAUUUGCAUUUUUAAUUUUCCUGGAUGCUCUCAGGUGCUUUCCACUUAGGCUGCUCCUGUGAGGAUAUCGUAGGUGCAGAUGGCGGGUGGGUGCACAGUGCUGACUGGUGUGUCUUCAGUCAUCCUUCCCUGCCUGGGGGAACUGGGGUCUUCCCCAUGCAUGCUCUGGAUCUGCACUUAGGUCUCCUUUCUCAUGCCUCAUCUUCUCUAUGUCUUCUACUCCCUCUUCCUUUGCAAGGAAAGUGCCACUCGUGAUAAGCCCAUUAUGUCUGAAUGAGGCACAUUUAAAAAGACUUGCAAAGUCCCAGAUGGCUUUUACAAUCUUUAUUUUGCCAAACUUUUAAAUAGGCCCAUAAGAUUAAGCUUGGCUAUGGUCUCUGUCUCUAGAAUGGGGGUGAAGUAUUUGGAGAAGUCAAAUAUCAGUUGUGUGGUCAUUAUUCCCCUGCCCUCUGUCCCAGCUUAAUUCUAAUGAGAAGUCCUCUUUCUGGGAUAGUUAAGGAGGAAAGAUGGUGCAUAACCAAGUACCCAGGAAAUGCUCUGAACUUCUUUGCAGUCAGCCAGCAGUGUGAGCACAGGGAUGGAUGGUGUAGUAUCAGCUCCUAUGCUCACAGCCUCAUAUGCACAGCAGGUGUAUCAGUCAGCAUUCUUGGUGGCAAGUUACAGAAACCUGAAUUAUCUGCUCAUCUUCCCUUGGGUCGAGUGAGGUGUUUCCCCAAUAAGGAAGAAAUAAGAAAAUGUGAACUUUGUCCUGUGAGUAUGGACCAGAGAGUGGACCAUACACUAUGCUAAAUAUUGCCCAUACAUUAAAAACCAUGAGGUAGGAACUAUUAAUAUUUUCAGUUUACAGACGAGUUUGGCAGGUAAGACUGCUAAAAUUGAAGUCUGUGGUUUAGUGAUUUUGCCGUGAACAACUAUAUGUGUCAGCAGGUCAUAUUAAAUGCUGCAGCAUGUGGUUGUAUAGAAUGCAUGUAUGUCAUUUCUGGAGAGAUCCUUAGACAAGUUCCCUGUGGCUUUCGGAGGUGGGAUAAGUCUGGAUGUGGCAGAUUGAGAGCAAUGGGCUGUGUCUCUGAAGAUAUGAGUUCUUGGGUUUGGUCCUUAUUUGCUAUGUGGCCUGUCAUAUCUAAGUUUUAGUUUCUUCACCUUUUAAGGAAUGGGUUAAAUUUACCAACUGAGAUGAAAUGCACAAAUUCCUCAAAAUUUACAACUCAAAAUGAACAGAAGAAGAAAUAGAAAAUCUAAAUAUCCUUGCGUCUGUUUAAGAAAUUGAAUUUGGUAGGGUUGUGGCUCAGUGGUACGGCACUUGCCUAGCACAUGUGAGGCACUGAGUUUGAUCCUCAGCACCACAUAAAAUAAAUGAAUAAAACAAAGGCAUUGUGUCCAUCCACAACUAAAAACAUUUAAAAAAUUGAAUUCAUCAUUUAAAACCUCUUAUCUCCUCUUCUUCACAACUACAGGCAUAUUUCAUCAAAUACUUAAGGACUAAAUAAUGCCAAUAUUAUACAAACUCAGAAAAUAAAGAAGAGAAUUGCUUGCAACUCAUUAGGUCAACAUAAUGCUGUUAGAAAAUCUGAAAAGGACAUUAGAAAAAAGGAAAUCAAUAGAACAAUGUCUCUAACAUAGACAUAGAAUUCUUAACAAAAUGUUAUCAAAUAGAAUUUAUCAAUACUCAAAAACAUAAAUGAGUUGACAUUGGAACAGUUAGGUAAUUACCUUCCACUGUCCCGUAUCAAACCCUUGACAGACAUCACUAAUCAAUUGCUCUGUUGUUUUAUCUUCCAAACUGAAUCAUUCUCAGUCUCACUCUCAGGUAGCUUGUAUCAAGAUACUCUGAUUCUGUUAUCUUGUUGAAAAUCUGAGGUCAUUUUACAAGCAAGCCUUUCCCUCAAGUGGGGUGAAUUCUUCCAGAUUAGACAUGGAAGAGCAAGACAAGGAAAGGGAGUUGAGAGCAAGAAUGGGUUGUUUUGAGCAAUCCAUAGGAAGGAAGAAGCCAUACAAUAUUAAAUGCCUAAAAGGAGCCUAACCUUAUUUGUUCUCAUUUAUUGCUCUAUGGCCAGCCCCCAAGGACAAAAUGUGACACAUGAACUUGCAAGACUGGGGAGUGAAUGAAUGACUUCUGAGGGAAACUAAAAGUGGUUCCGUCUUCAUAGUGUUAUGGUUACUGCCUUUGAGUCAAGGAGACCCAGCCAUGAGUGAUGAGACAAGAGAUUGGGGUCCAUCCCAAGGGCUUCCAUGAGAGAUUUAUGCAUCUAUAGACCAAUUAUUCUUAGCUGAGUAACCAUAGUAGCCUUGUCUCUCCUUGGGAUCGUGGGCACCCAUAUCCGUUCACUCUGUUGAUAUUUGCCUGGCUGCCUCAAUCGUUUCUUAAGCUCCUAUUCUGUUUUAGAAUGUAUUGUCUUCCUGCUCUCCUUCCUCCCACCUGGUCUUUCUCCAGUGUUUGCUAUCUCAGUGAAACCAACAACCUCCCAUGCAGUUAUACAGGCCAGAAAUGUAGAUGGCAGCCUGCGUGUAUCUCUCUCCACUUCCUAAUUAGUUCUCAGACAUUCUACAUUUUUCUGUCUUCAUCACCACCAUCCUGCUCUGAGUUCCCCUCAUUCCUUGCUUGGAAGUUUGCAAAUGUGCUGACAGCUCUCUCUGCACCCACUCCACACCCUUGCCCAUGUGCAUCCUCCAGUUGCACCUGAGUGAUCUGGCCAAAAUGCAAAGUAGUUGAUUGACACCCUGCUUAAAGCCUGCUGGUGGCAUCUCACUGUUCCUAAGAGGAAGAACAAACCCUCCCAGCUGCUCUACAAAUCCUUGGGGAUCUGGUCGCUGCUGUCUUCAGCUGCAUCACAUGCCUCUCACUCCUGACUGUCUGUGUGUUCAUCUCACUGAGCAUUUAGAUCCUCCAACAGCAUGUUCUUACCCACUCUCUGUCUAGGACUCUCUUCUGCCUCCUAUUUAUCUGAUUAUAAUUCCUUCAGAAUUCUUGUUACUUUCUUGGGAAAGACAUCUCUAACCUUCAUCUCCACUCCUUUCCCAACAGGUUGUGGUAGACUCUCAAAGAAGGAGGCUGAGGCAGGAAGAUUUCAGGUCAGCAACUUAGGAGACCCUAUCUCAAAAUUAAAAGAAAAAAAAAAGAGAAAGAAAAAGGACUAGGUAGGUAGCUUAGUGACAGAACACCAUUGGGUUCAAUCCCUAGUAUUGCAGGGUCAGGACCAUAUCGCAUACUAUGGUCCAUGGAUGAAAUUUUGCCCUCUGCCUAUUGUAUAAAUAAAGUUUUAUUGGAACACAGUCAUGUUCAUUCAUUUACUUGUUGUCCUUGGCUGCCUUUGCAUUACAGGGACAUAGGAGAGUAGUUGCAAUGGAGACCAUAUGGCUUGCAAAUCUUGAAAUAUUUACUAGUUGGCCCUUCACAAAACAAAGUUUCUCAAGACCUGGGUUUGAGUCCCAGCUCCAACACUGACUUGCUGCAUGACAUUGAGAAAGUCAUGUUUCCUCUCUGGGCUUCAUCUCAUCAAUCAAAUGGAAAGAGUAACAGGAACCAUCUCACCUAAUUGUUUCAUGUGAUUGCUUUGCGCAUUGCCUGGCAUAUAGAGUAUGCUUAAUAAACAAUAGCUAUUUUUUUGGUGUUAAAUUGAUUAUUCAUUGAUUAACGCAUUAAACAAAUAUGCACUUGCCGUGUACCAGAUGGUCAUAUGUGAAUCCCCGAUUGGACCAAUAUUAAAUCCUUACCCUGGAGGAAUUUACUUAUGAGUGGGGAGAAGAGAUAAUAAAAAAAUCAUAACUAUUAUUAGUAGUACUAUAAACAGGGAAUGCCACUACUAGUGGUAAAAGGAAACCACUCUGUGGACCUAAGACAAAAAUAGGUACGUCUUUGGGGCUUGGCAGUAAGUUUUCUUCCUUCUCGCAGAUACCCUGGCAGCUCCUAAGAAAACGUGUUCAUCUUGGAUGCAGCUGACAGAGGUGGCAUGGAUGGGGCUGAGCUGGUGGAGAGACCGGAUUUCUCAAACCCAGGUUUCUACACCAAAUUAUUGAAAAGGAAACCUUAUCAAGCAGCCUUCCAGCUUGUUGUCAUCCAUCUUCCAAAGAAUUCAGUAGCCCUUGGUGGUUGAUGAUUUACGGGACAGUGGCCACGAGGAGGUUGCUUUUUGUAUUAAUCUGUAUUUUAUCAAAGAUCAGCAACCUGCUGGCUGGGGCCAGAAGCAGCAGGCUCUUUGUGGAAUCCCAUUAACCCCAGUCUUGGCUGCAGCCAGCUCUAGACUAGCAGAGGACUGCUGGCCACUUGGGCAGAUGAAAGACUUUGAUCAUUCUAAGUUGGGAGUUCUAGCUGUUGAAAGAACAGCUACCCUUUCUUAAUGGCAGCAGGGUUCUGUCUUCUCUAGAAAGAUGAUUUUAAGCCUCCAAGCCUAAAUUUGAUUAAUGUCACAGUUGUUUAAGGUUGAGGGGGGUCAUCCAUGCUUUGCCAAUGAAAAGGCAAAGCUUAUAGAUGGUUCCUUAUCUUAUGCCUAGACUGAGUAAGCCAAGGCCAAUGCCUGGGUCACUUGUAAGGAAACCUAGGGUGUCUGUUGUCUCAGAUGUCCUGGUUUUAGCUUUUGUGUUCUGGGCAUGCCAAGGCAAUCCUCAUGAAGCCAGGACUUUGUUCUCUCAUGUAUGACUUCAUUUGCAGCACCUAGUACUGGGCCUGGCACCCAGUAGGUGCACAAUAAAUAGGUUGAACAAAUUGAAAUGUGCCUGGACCUUUGCAUAUGUUGUUGUCUAGUCCUGAAAUGGUCUUCCCAUCCUGAUGCUAUUCCAGUUGUCCUUAAGGUCAUAGCUUAAAAGUCAUCUUGAGCCAGUCAAUGUCUAAACUGGAAAAUAGAAAUUAUGACAGUUAAUUUAAUACAGGAAAUGGCUAGAUACAUACUGAAAGAUGAAAGAGAAAAGAGAGAACACUGCCUGUUGUGUAAAUAAAGUUUUAUUGGAACACAGUCAUGUUCAUUCAUUUACUUGUUGUCCAGUUACAUAGUAACUGCUCUGGAUUAGCUCACACUUCUGCAUAACAGACCACCCCAAAACUAGCUUCUUAACCCAGCCAACCUUCAUUAUCCUAUUUUCUGUUGGCCUGGAAGCUGGGCAAGUCUUCAUCCUCUGCCUAAGGAUGCUUCAUAAAUCGACCACUGGGUGUCAGCUGAGGCUUUGGUCUCAUCCAAGGUCCCACCUGAGGAAGGAUCUGCUUCCAAUCUCACUCGAGUGGUCAUUGGCAGUCUCUUGUAGGCUCCUUGGACUGGAGACUUUAGUUUAUCAUUGUCAUUGGCUGGAGGACCCCCUCGGUUCCUUGCCUGGUGGGCGUCUUUCUGGGACAGUUCACAACAAUGUACCAUGUUCAUCAGAGCAUGUGAGCAAGAGAAAAGCCAUGACCAGGGCCACAGUGUCAUUACUGAGUCUCAGAAGUCACUUCACCCCUGCUAGUAGGAGUGAGUCAGAAAGUCCGUCCCACCACUCCAGGAAUGAGGGUCACACAUAGACAUGAACCAGGGUGGAGGGCCAAGCCCAUUCCAGAGGCUAGCCCUGAUGGGCAGAAAGAAGCUAAUUACACCACAGGGCUGGAAGGAUGGCAGCGAGGUUAGAGUUUUAGGAGGAGGGUUUGAGGAGGGUCCCCACUGAGUGUGACCCUGGCCAGCUGAUACUGGGUACCGUGAGGCUGUUUCUAGGAAUGUGAGGAGAACACCUGGAAACAGGAACUAAUUACUCUUUCUGAAACCAUUCGGUGCUGCCUGGGGUACCAGGAGAGCCACCAGUAGUAACAGCAACAGGGUGUCGGCUUGAGCUUCUAUGAUGGCUUGAAUCACAUCUCAUCAGAGUUCACGUGAAGUGCCUUAGGAUGUGACAACAUUUGGAAACAGUCAAUGCCGAUACGGUUAGCUAAGAGGUGGAUUUGGGAGGACCCAAUCCAAUACAGUGGGUGUCUUUCCAUAAAGGAAAAACUUGGACAGAAACACACAUGGAGAGAAGGACAUGGGAACAGGAAGUCAGAGAUCAGGGUGGCAUUUCUACCAGCCCAGGAUGCCAAGGGUUUCCAGCAGCCCUUGAGAAGCAAGGAAAGAGGUUUAGGACAGAUUCUGUUCCUCAUUCCUCUGAAGAAACAACCCUUGGGACACUUUGAUCUUGGAUUUCCAGUCUCCAGAAUUGAGACAAUAGAGUUCUGUAGUUAAAGCCCCCCACCAGCCUGUGGUACAUAGUUGCCCCUUAUCCAUGAUUUUGCUUUCCGUGAGUUCUCAUAACCAUGUCAACCAUGGUCUGAACAAUCCAGAAACAGGGUUUGUAAGUUUUGAAUAACUUUGAGUACAGUAUACUAUUAAAAUUGUUCUAUUUUAUUGUUAUUGUUAACCUUGUAAUCUUAUUGUGCCUCGUUUAUAAAUUAAACUUUAUCAUAGGUAGGGUAUAUAUUUUUAAAAAAAACCCAAACCUACACAGGGUUUGGUACUGUCCAUGGUUUCGAGCAUCCUUGGGGCUUUGAUGGCAUUCCAUAUGGUAAUGGGGGCGGGGAGGCUACUGCACAUUGCUAUGCUCUGGGAAGCUAACACAGCCUCCUUCAGCCUUGAGGUCAUCUCUGGAACCUUUUGUCUUACAGAACUACCAUGGAUGCUGGCUGUAGAGUCUCAGUCCAGCACGGCCAUGUAGGACUUAGAAGGGUGGGUGGACACUGAGCCAGGGUUGUGUGAAGGCCAGCACAUGUGUCUUUGGGGAAGGUCUUUGGUGACCUCCUCCACCCCCUCCACACAGGCCCUGUUGGGUCUCCACCUUUCUCUAUGUCCAUUUAGUCCCAUGCACCACCUUCUCUCAGGCACUUACCAUAUCUCUUUGGUUGAUUAUCUCCUCCUCAAGGCCAUGUAUGAGCCUCAUGAGGGCAGGUGCUCUCACUGUCUCCAAUGUUAAGUGUGGUUUUUAGCACACAGAAGGUGGUUAGUUAAUGGUCUUUGCAUUGAAUGAACAAAUGCUGGUAGAAGCAGAGAAGGAGAUGCUCCAAGACAGGGAGGUUGGGUUGAACCAGUUUGAACAGCCGUCACAUCAUAUAUGUGUCUCAUUCAGUCCUGAAACUAACCCUGCAUGCAUGUACUUUUAUGUUCAUUUUGCUUAUGAGAAAACUGGAGAUCAAAGAGAGAAAAUGACUUGCCCAAAGUCAUCUAGAUGACAAGUGGCAGAGCCUGGACUCAACCUCCUUUCAACUAUCUAGUCUCCUUUUCUCUCACAGUUUUAGAGCCAUCAUGCAUUAAGAACUUACAUAUCCCAGGAACUGGGUUGGAUGCUAUCAGCAUGUCCCUGUCUCUGUUCACAUUUUUAUUAGCUGUAUCAUCAUUUGACCUUGUCAUAGAGCACACAGUGCUGGCACAGAGCUGGAAACCAAAUGGAACAUUCCACCCAGAUCCCACUCCACUGUGUAGCCAGACAGCUGAAAUCCAACCAACGUGCCUCCACUAUGAGUAUUAAUAGAUUGUUGAUAGAUCUGAUGGUUUCUUUAAUUGAUGGCUUCUGCCAUUAUUAAGGAAGAGACUUUUUAUAAGGCUCACAACAAUUAUUAAUCUUGGAAACAAGAGUGUAGAUACAAAUGUUAUUUGUCCUUUUGCCAAGAUAAAUAAGCACAUAUGCUUUUAGUCAAAGUUGUAAGAAUUUCUUUAGCAAAUAUUUCAGGACCUCUUGCAUUUCUGAUCCAGAAAAACUGUAAGCCUAUAAAUGUUUGUGGUUUUUAUAUGCUUUGUUUGGGAUAAUUUUUCAAAUACUAGCAUUCACGGGUAUGUUUGGCAAAACCAAAUAGACAAAGGGAAAACCAUGUGUUCAAGAGCAGAUGCUUUUCUUCCCUAAACCCCAAGAUGAAGAGGAGGAAAUGGAGUCUUUCAGGGGUGCUAGGCACUGGUGUUUUGUUACCAAACCAUGCCUGUCAUGCCUUCUCACAGUACGCCCUUCCUAGAGACAAAGCAUUUUGCAAAAAAGAAAUAACUUUCUCACAAGGUUGCCAAGUGUGAAGAUGGGAGUCUCAGAUGUCAAAUCUGCCUCCCUGAGGCUAGGCUUGAGGGUCAUUUAUGGGAUGAAGGAGCAGGUGGCAGUGAUUGGCGGUGAAGCAGUCAGUGGUCUGUGCAUGCACAGUCUACACUGGUGGCUCUUCAUGAGUCAUAUUUUUGGAACAGGGUGGUGUCAGCUUGAGGUGAAGGUGAAGUUUUUAGGCUUCUGACAUCAAAGUCACCUGUUAGACACUUUCAGGUCCAAAUGAAGAGUCAAUGGUUUUGACAGAGGUGUCCUUCACAUCCCUGGUAAGUGACCUACUUAUGGUUAAGACUCACACACUGGAGAGUCUUAACACAUUGCUCAGCUGGUGGACAUCCCAAAGGAGUGAUUUUUAAGUGAACUAAAAGCUAGUAACUCAAAGCAUAUAAAACUGGAGGGUUUAUUUGAGGUUUUCUUGGAGCCUCUGUGUGGUCUUUCAUCUGCUGUGUCCCAAAAGGAGAUGGGAGAGAAUCCCCUCCUUCCCUUGUAUGGGGUGGAGAAGCGGAGGGUGGUGGAGGCCUUUGUGAACACAGCAUAUUCCUAGACUUGCUCAAAACCAAAUCUCUGUGAUGAAGGAAGUAAAAUGCUUUGACUCUAAGACACUCAGACUCCCAUGGUCAAUAUCACUAAGGAGGAUAUUGCACACUGAAUAAAACCGACCAUGCAGGGGAUUCAGUUUCAUUUUGUUGCAUAUGGAUGGAAGGAGACCCUCAUUGUUAUACAAAAUUACAUAUAAGAGGUUGUGAGGGGAAUGGGAAAAUAAACAAGGAGAGAAAUGAAUUACAGUAGAUGGGGUAGAGAGAGAAGAUGGGAGGGGAGGGGAGGGGGGAUAGUUGAGGAUAGGAAAGGUAGCAGAAUACAACAGUUACUAAUAUGGCAUUAUGUAAAAAUGUGGAUGUAUAACCGAUGUGAUUCUGCAAUCUGUAUUUGGGGUAAAAAUGGGAGUUCAUAACCCACUUGAAUCUAAUGUAUGAAAUAUGAUAUGUCAAGAGCUUUGUAAUGUUUUGAACAACCAAUAAGAAAAAAAACAGACCAUGCUUCAACCUUCAUGUGAUAAUACUGAUCACUUAAAAAGUAUUGAGGGAUACAUACUUUUAAAAUAUUUUACUGUGCAUUAUUUGAUCCAGGAUGCUUGAAAAAGCAUAAAUAGGGAUUCCUAAGUAAGUCUUUAAGGCACAGAACCUAUGAUAAAUAUCUUGUAAUGGGGACAAGAUACCAAGUCACUUACAUCAAAUAUAUUUGAUUAAAAAUACUUUGAUUAAACUAAAAAUAAAUGUUGAUAAAUGAAUUUGGAACAUUGUAUGAUGUGUUUUUAUUUUAUUUUUAAAUGUUUGGUUGUUUGGGUUGAACUCAGGGGUGUUUUACCUCUGCACUAUAUCCUUGGUAUAUAGCUGUCNCAGGAGGAUUGCAAGUUCAAAGCCAUCCUUCGCAAAGGUGAGGUGCUAAGCAACUCAGUGAGACCCUGCCUCUAAAUAAAAUACAAAAAUAGGGCUGGGGAUGUGGCCCAGUGGUCAAGUGCCCCUGAGUUCAAUCCUUGGUAUCCCCUGAAUAAGACCUUCUCAUUGUAUUGGCACCAAGAACAAGGACCAAACUUUCAGUAUCAUGAUGACCAAUGAUGCUGAGCUUCUUUUCAUGUGCUAUUGGCUAUUUCUAUACAUUCUUUGGAGAAAUGACUGCUUAAAUCAUUUGCCUAUUUUCUUUUUUUUAACAUUUUUUAUAUUUUAGUUGUCAGUGGACCUUUAUUUGUGCCUCACACAUGCUAGGCAAUGCUCUGCCACUGAGCCAUUGCCCAGCCCCAGGCCUGUUUUCUAAUUGAAAUUUUUUCUUGUUUGUUUUUGUGUUAUAUAAGAUCUUUAAGUCUUCUAAGAUAAAAACAUUUAUAAAAUUAGGCACUGAAAAUAUUUUUUCUCAUUCUAUGGUUUGUUUUUUCAUUUUCUUCAAGGGACACCCCAGAGAGAGAAGAAGGGGCCACAGGGAAAAUGAACCCAUGCCAGGGCACAUCCCCAGUGACCCACUUCUUCCAGCCAUGUUCUACCUGGCUCCAGUUACCCCCUGGUCAGUCCAUUCAAACUAGGAUUGACCAGUCAGUUUUCAGCUCUCACAAUCCAGUCACUACAACUCUGAGAAUUCCUGCAUUAACUCAGAAGAUUUUGGGGGGGACACCUUAUAUCCAAACCAUAAUAGUGAUAUUUCUAUUUUCUUUAUUCCUUCUUUAUUUAUUAAUUGGAAUUCUUCUGAAAGGGAGAGUUAUAACUUCAUUAUGUUAUUUUGUUAUAUCACCAUAGACUCAAGGGCAUUUAUUUUACUCUCUGGGUUACAAAUCAAUUCUAUCAUUGUUUCAUUGCUUUAAUUGUUCCAAACUCUUUCAGUUUGAGUUCUAGCCUUUAAACAUACCCUUUUUAAUAUAUAUAUAUCUUCCUUACUUUGGGAAUACCAAAAUCAGUUUGUAUUUUACCUGAUUCAGAUCCAAGGACGCAGGGUGUGGGAACCAGAUGUACUCAUCGCUGCUGGAGCAUCUCUCCUGUCAGUUGUCAGUGAUAAGAAAUAUAUCUGUGUUUACUCCCUGUGUAUGUACACACACACACACAUCUGGAUGUAUAACUGUUUUAAGCACCAUAGGGUUCAUUCUAGUCUUCCCUCUUUUCUUACUGGUAGCUUCCCUCUAUAACAGUGACAAGUCUGGCUCUGACUCUCUACAGUCAAUUUGCUCAACUCUGGGACACAUCUAAAACAGUUUUGAAAUUCCUGACCUAUGACCCCGUGAGAAACAAAUUUACUAACAGAGUACUGCUUUAAUAUAGUUCUUUUUGCAAACAUUAGCAAUUUUUUGUUUUCCAAUUUAAUUAGGUCAGUUACUUACAUAUUCAUUCCAUUCACCUUGAUUAUGUGAUUCAUUUGAAAUAUAACUAUGCUUGUUUGUCACCAUCUAAAUGGUAUUUUGCAUUGCCCCACAGCCUGACCAGCACUUUAAAAUUUGCAUUUAUGAAGUUUGCUCUUUGUCAUGCACAGUUCUGUGGGUUUUGAUAAAUGUGUAUUCGUCUGCUCAGAUGUUAUAGUACAAUACCACACACACUGGGUAGGUUAAAUAACAGAAAUUUGUUUUGUCACAACCCCAGGGUCCAGAAGUCCAGUAUCAAUAUGCCAUCAGGGUUGGUUUCUGGUGAGGACCCUCAUCCUGGUUUAAGGAUAACCAGUUGCCUUCUCUCAGUUUCCAUGUGUUCAAUACACAUGGAGAGAGCAUUCUGGUGAUUCUUCCUCUUCUUAUGAGAACACUAGUUCUAUAGGAUUAGGGUCCCCCCCUCAUAACCUCAUUUAAUGUCAAUUACCUUAUAGAUCCUAUCUCCAAAUACACUCACACUAGAAGUUGGGGCUUCAACAUAUGAAUUGUGGGGGACACAUUUCAGUCCAUAGCAAAAUUAUGGAGUCCUCUCCUCACACUGAAGUGCCAUGCAGAAAAGUUCCAGAAACCCCAGAAUUCCCUCCUGCUGCCCCUUCAUAGUUAACC